CACCACCAUCUUGAUAGUUAAACAAUUUCACUGUAAAAGCUAUUAAACUUAGCAGGAAAAAAAAUUUAAACUUUAUCUAACAUUUGAAUCUACAAUUUUCAAUUAGCAACUCUUGUCACAAAUGUUUAUUAGUGGGGUACGUUCUAAGAUAUUGUUAUUUGCUAAUUGUCGAGGAUUAUUUGGGAGUUAAAUCUCACAAGAAGGCGUAAAGAUCACAUUAGAAUUAGAUAUUUUACUAGGAAGCUAAAGAUCACAUUAGAACCACCCGCAGGAAUACAAAAAAACGACAUACCUUAUAGUCCAGUUGAUCAAAACCCUUGCAAACAAAUUCGAACAAGGUUCUUAAGUUCUCAGGGCUGGGUGCAGUUACAAAUAUAUUUGAAUACCUGUGAAGAUAUAUUUGUAUCGUCAAAACAUAGUACAUGAAUAUGAGUGUAGACAGCUACACAUACACCAAAACAGUUUUAAUACAUUGUAAAAGGCAUACUACCCUGCAGCAAUAGCUCCGGAAAUUGCCAAACCAAGUGCAGCCGAUUUUCCACGGCCUCGAGCAGCAAGCAAGGCAACAGUACUUCGGAGUGUCUUGUCCAAGAUUGCAUCAAGAAAUGUAGCAACAGCAUUUCCCUGUUGAAACAUUUACCAACUCAAACUAUGAGUCAUAUUAGUAAAUCACACAUGAUAGAAAAACUCAAAACUAAUACAAAUCAGAGAGAGUGCCUACCUGGUCCAACGUACAACAUUUCUUUAUUAAAGGGCCAACAGGAAAGGCAUCACUCAGCUGCUCUUUUAGAUCCUUCAGUUCCCUUUGUGACUCUGAUAUCCCUUCAGAGUCCUUCAAUCAUGAUCAGAAAACAAGAAAAAAGUUAUCAAAGUUAUCAAAGCUUCACAAACUCCUAGAAAGUAUCCUAAUAACCAUUCGGUAUACACACACUUGAAAAAUUACUUUUAUUCUUUUUGUCAUCUCGCAUAAGAUGCCACGAAAAUAAAGCAUUCCUCGAUUUAUCAGUUCCGUCCUAUAGAAAAGUUACAAGGCUAAAAGGUUACCUCUUUCACUGGAACUGGGGUAAUUGACCUCAUAUGAGAUGAAAUUGGUAAAAUAUUCAGCUCAUCAUCCAUUACUACACAUGAUUUGCAUGACGCAAGUGACAAUAAGAAACGCUCGUUAAAACGUCCAGUAGCCUUAGAAUGGGAUUCAGUUCGAAACCUAUCAUGAACAUCCUGAAAUCAAGAGGCGCUGAUAAGACUGUAUGGAGAUUUUUGCAUUUGAGAGAACGAGAAAGACAGUGUUGCAAAUAAAACAUGACAUAACGGAAUUGUUAUCAAAUAUAAUAUGUGGUGCAUGGCUAUUGCUAUAUUCGUUCUAAGUCCAUAAUGUAGUAAAACUAGAAACUACCUCAACAAGAAGAACAAAUAUUAUGAGGAAACCUAGUUGUUUUUUCUUCUUCUUUUUGGGGCUAGAACAUGAAAAGAAACAACUAGUCUACAUAGGCCCAACUGGGAAACUUAUAUGUUCAGCAGCAUUCUCUUAAAGAAAGUCAAGCAAUUGAAUCUACCAAAAGUCUUCUUGUAGCCAAGCACAUCAUUACGAAAAAAUUCGGAAACUUUUAACAUGGCUAGUUUUCAAGAUUUUGCGGUAUAUAAUAAGCAUAACCAUGCUGGCCUAAAAACUAAGCAUUAAUUGUGUGCAUGCGUAAGAGAAAGAGGUAUUAUUAUAUGCAUACCAUAACCAUGGUGUAGAGGUUGGUGAGUGAGGUUAGAGAAUGAAGCAACAAUAUGACUAGUCCACCUCCCUCCACUGUCUCUAUCGUUCUUGCUAGUAGAUUUGGAGUCAAGGCCUCAAAAUCCUAAUGCAGGAGAUCAAACUUAGUCAUAAAACUUAAAUCAAUUAUACAAGGGGUCUUGGCCAAACCAGUAAAUUUGUAAGUUUCAAGUUACCUGAAGUAUACACAUUCCAAAGGUAUUACCAAGAACUCUUUCUGAAUCCUUGUACAAGCAAUAAGUCAAUCCCCCACUUUCAACAAAAAGUGAGAAAGGAUCAACCUUCUCGGGAUCAAGCAGCCCCCUCUGCAUCAUCUUUUUUACUUGCUUAGCACGUUUUUUCUUGUGACUGCAUCAUGAAGUAGUCAAACGCAACGAAUCAAUAUAUUUUAAAAACGAAAUUCCGCCUUGCCUUAUAAUAAGGUGAAGAAUGGAAGGUAGAAGAAAUCAACCUGCUGAGCUCGAGCUUGUCCUUGUAGCACCACAACACAGUCGGGCGCGAUUUCUUUACUUCAUUGCUUAGCAUAUAAUGAAGAUUCACAAUCUGAAGACCAUAUAAAACUCCAUAUUAGCCAUUUUCCGUUAGUUUUCGAUAGAUUUUCGAUGAUAUUUCUUACCUUGUUUGAGGUUUUUAGUGUUACUCGGUGAGUAUUGCAGGUGAAAACAAGAAACAGUAAAACUGGUAAAAUUUUCUACCCAAUUCAAUUUAAAUCAUUGUUAUAACUCCUCAAAUUGAAUAGGAAUAGCAAAUAGGGAAUGGGAUAGGAAAGGCAGAAGAAAUUAGGAGUACCUGGUCACGGGAUUUGUCGCCGACGAUGACGAACAUGGAGCGGUGCCGGUUUUUGACGCCAUUGCUUAUUAGGGUUCGGAUUCGUUCGUCCACCUUCUUCCUCAUUCUCUCUCUCUCUUCUCUCUCUGUGCAAUUAGGUUUAGGGUUUAUACCAUAGGGCAGUUGUCGUCGUCGGGCAGGGUUUAAGCCGAACUAGUGAGAGAGAGACUAGACAUCGCGGAGAGAUAUUGAGUUCAUCUCAACCGUUGAUUGGCUAUCUGAUGGCUGUUAUCAAAGCUGACAUAAAAAUGAAAACUCAACACGUGGCCAAGUAUUUUUUUUCUCUCUUUUUUGGCUUAUUUAUUGAUUUGCCCCAGAAAUUAUUUUUUUUGUCUUACUCUAGGUCAUGAAACAGAAUUUAUCUUACUUUAUCUUCUAAAACUACCAAAAUCGAGUCAUUUCACCCAUGUUUUGUCAAUUCUAUCUCAUAAACGUUAAAUAAAAGGGAGUCUAAACAUUUCAUACCAUGCUAGCAAAGAUGAGCCACUGUUGUUGGUGAGGUACGAAAUUUUCAAACUUUCCUAAACCUUUAAAACUUAAAAGGUAUCUUGAAUAUGAACGUAAAUGAGGUAAAGUUGCUCAAUUUUGGCAAUUUAUGAAGGGUAAAAUGAGACAAAUUCAAUUUAAGGCUAAAGUGAGAGUAAAUGGCAGUUUCAUGAGAUAUAUCAAUAAAUAAAUCUUUUCUAGAAUACAACUAAAUUAUGUACUCACGGUAAAAGAUAAAUUAAUAUCGAACUUGUCAUUGACGAUAUCUAAACAUAAAACCUUUCAAGUUUUUACCUAUAAGAAUAAAUUUGGUAUAGUAAUUUCUUUUCUAAUUUAAAGUUUCCCAUAGAGUUAUGACGAAUUUGAUACCAAAUUAGGCUGUCAUUGUGUGGCAUAGCCGAAUUCCUCCUCCCUUACUUUAAAAAUAACGAUGUACUCAAAAAAAGUUUCCCAUAGAGUUAAAAUGAUCUUUAGUUGCUUGCUGAGACAACCCAUAUGUAUAAUAAGACAUUGAAAAAGGUGCCUCUGUCAUUUACACUCACACGAUCGAAUAAGUAGCUCCGACAGUUGCAUCAUAAAAUUAAGGGGUUUUCCGAGAUUGUAGUAAGGUUGACGAUUAAAGUUUGGGAAAUUUUCAGGUUAAGGAAUCAAGGGAUCACAUUUUCAAGUUUCGUAGGCAUUCUCUUUCCUUUGGAAUGGUGUUGGAAUCCGUCCUGAAGUUGCCCAUUCCUUUGCUCUUGAUUUUCAGAGUUGGAUAGCUAUAAACCUUAGGACACAUUGUACCACCAUACAUGGUUUACCUUGGAACCUUAUCUUUAAUUCAACUCUCUGGCAUUGCUGGAAAUGGAGGAAUAACUUUGUCUUCAAUGAUGGCCAACAACCGCUUGACUCACCCCAGAAUUUCAUUUUUCAAUUUGCAAGGGAAUGGUGUGAUGCGAACAAGUGUUCUUCUAGUAAGCCUCCUAGACAAAAUCAUCUCAAUCCAUUGGAUUCGUUUGCCAAUUGGUAUACAAAAUCAAUACAGAUGGGAGUUGUAAAGACCCAUUUAGCCACAUAAGUGCUGGAGGUUUGCUUCGUAAUUCUGAAGGGAAAUGGAUUAAGGGAUUUGCUGCUAAUUUGGGCAGAGGAACCAUCAUGGAAGGUGAGCUUUAAGGGUGGUUUCAUGGGACUUUCUAUAGGUUGGGAUGAGAGUUGCAAGGAAGUGAUUAUUGAAUGUGAUUCUUAUGCUGCUGUUACUUUGAUCCAACAACCUAUUUUAGUUCCCACUCUACAAUCUCAUUAUUGACUGCAAAGAAGCCAUUGAAAGAAAUUGAAGAUGUGAAGUUACUCAUAUCUAUAGAGAAAAUAAUGUCUUAGCUAAUCACACGUCUGACUUAGGUCAUGGGUUAUCACUUGGUCUUCAUGUUUUUGCUUCUCCUUCUACCAUUGCUACUAAUUUUAUAGUUUCUAAUACUAUUGGCAGGGCCCUCCCUAGAGCUGUUUUUUAGUAGCUUUUUUGUUUUGCUUGUUGGGCUUUGCCCUCUUCUGUACCCAAAAAAAAAAAAAAAAAAAAAAAUAUUGGGAAAUUUAUUUGGACCCAACUUUUUUAUCUCUACACCCAAAUAAUAUUUUCUCUUAUCUAAUCUUCCAAAUUUGUCCUUAAAUAACAAACAUUGAAGUUUUCUUUGUAUCUCUACACCCAAACCCCACGAUCCACCACUGUAGGGCGCUCCAUUAUUUCCGACAAACCCAACUCAAACGCCAGCAACACUAAAAUCGACAAAUCAAGACUGGAGAACAAAUGGUGUAGGAGUCCUAAUGUGAAUAUUAAAGCAAACUUAAGUUGCAAAACCCUUUUUUAUUUCAAUCGAUGAAAGGACCUUGGGUUAUGAACAUAAGGAACCUAUUAGGGUUUAGAGGUCCCCUCCACAUCAUAUGCAUAAGCCCUUUUUCUUCAUUCAUUAAUUUACGGAAGGGAAAAUUAAUACUAUUAUUCUCAUAAAAAGUGGGAAUACCAAGGAAAGAGAUCCUCUCCACACCAUAUAUUUUUCUUUUCUGAGUAGUUAUAUCCAAUGGAGAGAGGAAAACAAGAGCACCAAUGGUCGCAGGUUCACCGGAGAAAAUGAAGGUGCAGUGGUGAUGUGAGUUUAGGGUUAUUGGGUGUAAAGAUAACAACUUUAAUAUUUAUUUUCUCAUUUUUAUUUAUUUAAGGGCAAAUUUGAAAGUUUAGUAGAGAAAAUUUGUUAGUUGGGUGUAGAGAUAAAAAGGUUGGGUCCAACAAAAUUUCUCAUAAAGUUUAAUCACGCGAUUAAGUUCUUGUGCAAUGAGUAAAUUGUAGCAAUGACCCAUCAACUAAAAAUCCAUUAUUAUUGAUCCCUCAACUCAUCAAAAUAUGUAGUUAUGGUCAUUUUCGUCAACUUUGUAAGAAUUUUGUCAAAAUAAAUUAUGUUGGAAGGACCAUUGUUACAAUUAAGGUCCUUCAACUCAUCAAAACAUGUAGCUAUGGUCAUUUUCGUCAACUUUGUCAAAAUGAGUUAUGUUGGCAUGACCAUUAUUGCAAUUGGGUUAAAGUUGAGGAAUCAUUGCUCCAAUUGGGUUAAAGUUGAGGGAUCAUUUCUCUAGUUAGAUUAAAGUUGGGGGACCAAUGAUAAUUAAGUUUUAGUUAAGGGAUCAUAGUUGCACGUUUUGAUGAGUUGAGAGAUCAAUGAUAAUGAAUUUUUAGUUAAUGGAUCAUUACUCCAAUUGAGUUAAAAAUAAAGGACCAUUGCUACAAUUUACUCUUGUGCAAUAGAAGAUUAAUUUGGCCGAACAACCUGAUUAAGGUGCCUACUUUCUCUUUAAUUCAUUGGUAUCAUUUAUUUUCCCUUAAGCUGAAUUAUGCUCAAUUUAUGUAUCAAUAUUGUAAAGUUGUCUUUGUUAGAGUAAUUUGGACAAUAUAAAUUGAAAAUUAUUUGUGUAUAUGGAAAAGAUUAACCUCAGGGGUCACUUCGCCGGACUCCGUAGCAAUCUCCACCACUCCAAUCGUAAUGGUGAGUAAAUCACUUGUGUUUGUUUCCAUUUUUUCAAUUGGAAAUUGGGGGUUUUGAAUUCAUAUUUUGUCAAUUGGUUUUGUGAGCACUGAGAAUACACUACGAGCUUGUGUGUGUGUACAAUAUGUUGGAUUUGAUCUUUAUAAAGAAUGCGAGAAAUUGGGGUUAGGAAAGAGAAGAAAAGGAAACAGAACUCGAACUUCGAUCUUCAUUCUUGUUACUAAAGGAGAAAACCGAAUUUGAACCGGUUCAUACGUAAUCGAACCGAAUUUGUAUAGUUCGGUUCACCCCUUAGUACCGAACCGUACCAUACCAAAAAAAAUUUCUUGAGUUUGGUUUUGAUACAUCCCUCAUACUGUACCAUACCAAAUCGUGGCCAGACCUACUGAAUACAAAACUUAUAUCUGGGUCGUAAGUCGUAAGGCCUCCAAAAAAAAAGUUCAUAUUAUUCAUACCAAUCGGACAAAUCCCGCACCCAAAAACAAUGGCUAGAUAGAAAGUUCAAUUAUAGAUUAGGUAAUCUAUCCUUUUCAACUUAAAUGCACAUUCAUGAUGGUUAUGCAAAUCAUAUUAUGUUAACAAAUGCAACAAUUAAUUAUAUUUAUCCAUUUGGAAUGAUAUAUAUUUUCAAAGAUGGAAUUACAGACCCCGUUGACGUUGAGGCCAUUGCAUGAGAGAAUUUUAGAUGAUUUUCAAUUAAUUUAUAUUAUUGUUGUGAUAACCAUAAUAAUUAUUUUCUAAAUGUAAAACUAUAUUAAUGAAAUUUUCUUUGUCGGUCAAAAGAAGAUGAAAAGAUAUCUUUAUCUUCUAUCACAACAAAAAAAUUAAGGAUAUUAAUGUAAUAGGCUAAUAGCGAUGGGGUGAAGAAAUGGAACUAUCCUAAAUAGGCAGUUGCUGGUUAUAUUGGAUCAGGUGGUCUGAAUGAUUGGAUAAUUAGCAAAUAAAAAGGUUCCAUUUUUCAUGGACCCUCAAGUGGAAAUAUGGGAUAAAAGAUGGCAUAUACCAUUUUAUCCAUUUGUGAUUGUACAUUUUGAUGGUUGUGAUUUCACCCGAUGGCGCGGCAAGUGUGGAUUGGGAUAAGGAUGGUUUUGGUCUAUCAUCAAAGAUGGUUUGAUGUUCACGACUGGAUUUUACAACGCAUCCAAGUGCAUGGGUUCUAUAAAUACAGAGUUGCGCACAAUAAAAAAGUACAAAGGACCUUCAAACCUUUCACACACUCUGAGAAACUCCUGAUUCUCCCAACUUCGUCAACACAUCUUCAAUUUGGAUUAACAUCACUGUUUGUCAGUGAGGAGUCCUUAGUCUUCUCGUCUCAUUAGCCCUCUAGGUGAAGUGAGGUGUUACUGAAUUACUUGAGUAUUCAGCACAUUGAAAGUCGAACCUUAUUUGAACUUCACAGUAGUUAGCAAUCUUAUCUUCAGGUUUUAGAACCCAAUGCCAAGACAUAUUCCUUCCUCGACAGUGAUGGUUUGUACACAAAAGUUGGUUUGUACACAUAAGUCAGUAUUGUGUUUGACACACCAUCCCAUUCAUUCUACUAGCCCACAAACGCGUGGACUCGUCCAAAAUUACCCCACUCUCGGCCCGUUCACUUGCCCACUCGUCCCACGCGGCCCGUGAGUCUUCAGUGCCUGAUAGGGGGGCCUACUGUUAGGGCCGUUGUUGGCCACAACCCAGAGCCCAACGAUUUUUUUUUGCAUCCCACGACUGGCAUUUUUGGACCGUUGGUUGAUCCAACGGUCCAGAUUCAAAUUUUGUUUUUUUAAAUGUUAUUUUAAAAUACAUUGAAUCCAACGGCUGAGAUCGAAUAUAAUCAAAUCUAACGGUAAAAUAAAAAAAGAUAAAAAAAGAUAUAACAGUCCAAAUUUAAAUCCAACAGCUAAAAUAAUUUUAAAAAAAAUUAUUUAACUCAAAAUUCACCCAAAAACUCUAUAAAUACCUUUGUAUUUGUUCAAACAUCCACACAAAACUCAAUUUUCUCCCACAAUUCUUCCAUUUUUUCUUUCUACCAUUUCUUUCCAUUUCCAAAUUGUUCAACACGAUCCUUGAAUUGGCCAUCCCAAGCAGUAAGACAAUUCUUCCACUCCCAAAGCAUACAAUCGAGACUUCCUAUCAUGUCAGGAAAGCCUAUUUUGUCUGCUUUGAGUAGAAUGUGACGACAUGUCCCGAAUUAUUAUAUAUUUUUCUCCCUAAGUGUGUAAAGUGACGGUAAUGCCCUCGUGAUUUAGUGACGUGGAUGUACAUAUGUAGUUUUAAAUUAUUAUUUCUAUUGUCGUAGUUAAAUUGUACUCGACGCCAUGAGUGUGUUGAUGUGACCUAGGGCUAAAACAAAUUCGUAACGAAGAAGUUACGAACAGACGAGUGUGUAAAUGCGUAGAAAUAUAUUUUUAUGGGUUGGCUAUACCUUACCCACCAAUCACCUUAAUUCCUGAUUUCUUUGGCCUAAUUGAAUUAAAAAUAUCUCUCAUUUUUCCUUCUGCCCAAUCACGCACAUACACACCAUCACUCUCUCUCUUCUCUCGGACCUUCUUCUUCUUUCUUCUCAUUCCGUACACCCGAGCCACCCUUACCUCACAAUCAUCAUCAAAACAUUAUGGAUCGAAUUGGAAAUCACUACCAUCGCAGUCACCUCGAUCCCACGAACUCAUUGAUACCCUUAGGUCGAGGAAUAGACGUCGGGAAUUCGAGAACUCGGGAGCUCUGGCGAGGUGUAUUUUUCUACUUUGUGAUCGUGGUCUUUUUCUAUGGUUUAAAGGCUUGAGGUGGGUCCUAAUCAACUUUAUAGGGACCCUAGAUUAGUUUUGGAGCAGUUUGAACGUUGGAAUAGGUGAGAACAUGGAGUUGCAGGUUGGCCGGUUGAUCCAAGCCUUACUCCGACCACUUUCUGUCGGUUUUAGAACCUCAAGUAGGUAAGAUUGUAUUCUUCUAGUUGAGAGUUUCAAAUCCAUAUAAAAUUCAUGGAAUUUGGUUGAAAAAUGAUGAAGAUAUUAAAGUUUUAAGAUUUUUCCAAAAAUCAGCGACACAAACGGCGCCCGACGGCCAGCGAUGGAUUCCGACAAAGCCAUCGGAGAAGGAGGAGAAUAUUAUGUCUAACUUUGACAGAAUAUACUAACAGCGUCAGGUAACUCUAUUAGUUUUUAAACAAAAUAUUCUACUAUUUAAUGAAAUAUUCCCUAACGCCGUUAGGGAUUCCGUGCCUGCACGUGCCGGCUUAUGAGGGCGCGUGAGACGUCAGGAAAUUAAUCUAAAAAUAUUGGGGUGUUCGAGUUGUUGAGUAGGUCAUGUUGGUAUAUUCAAACACCCUAUUUGAGCAACGUAUGAGAAGUUAUUCCUAGGGUUUGUGUAUGUGCCUUAAAAUUAAUGUAAAAUUAGUUAUUUCGCAUAUAGGUGAGACUUACCCGGAGGACAAACGUGGUCAAACGAGACUUGGGGGCUACGAUCCUACUACUUACCAGUGAGCGGGCUUUUUUUUUCUAUAUAUAUGUAAAUAUGCUUAUGAAUCCCAUAAACUACUUUAAAUGAACGUAUGUUUUAAAUGCCAUGUCGUGUGCAUUAUGUGUUAGUAUUGCAUUAGUAUAGCUAUGCAUAGUAUUGGAUGAGACUGCGCAGACUCAGGUAAGUUUCAGGUGAGUACAUCAUGAUGGUAUUGGGUGCGUGUGUGUGGUUAUACGUUGAUGCAUUUUGAGCUUAUUAUCCUGCACAUUGGUGUUAGUGUUCUCGCCCAUGGCCAGGGCAUAGUUUUUCACAUGAUGUUCACCUCCUGGGCCGCACGCUCACUUUGGAUCCAAGUUUGGUGCACAGCCAUAUUGCACAGACCACAAUAGGUGGUUCCGACUCGUAGGUGACCUGCAAUUAUUUGCACAGCCUUCACGUGAUCGUAGCACUUAAGCGUACUUAUCUACACCCAGCCCUGUUGUACAGACCACAAUAGGUGGUUCCGACUUAUGUGCAUGCAUACUUGAUGAGCUAUAGAUUCAAUUGUACAGGUUACAUUAGGUGACUCCGGUUGGCAUACUAUUUUAGGUUGAUUCGUAUCACCUGGCUUACACAUUUUAUGGUUGAACAUCUUGACAUGGCAUACCUCUGUUUUCACUGCUCUAAGCAUUAUCCUUAUGUACCUAGUUGUUAUUAUUUUCUGGAAAAUUAUAUGGGUUUACAGUGAGGGGUUAGUAUGUUCAUAAAGACAACUGUGUUUUCAAAAACUUUGUUUUUGCCUACUCACAUUUUUUGUUUUGCACCCUUUCAGGUUCUAGGUAGUUGGUCAUCCUUGGUGGCUCACGAGGACUUUCACGGCGGUUCUGACAUCUCUGUAAAUAAGUAGGGAUUUUUUUCCCUGUUUGUAUAAUUAGUACUUAGUUGGUUCGAUUGCACUUUCGUUUACCCAUGCUCUGAUAUUUGUAUAACUUGCUUGGUCAUCUUUACUCACUUAUAUUAUCUUAGUUUAGAUAAGUUUGGUUUUAGGUUUUUAUUUAUUCGCAUUUCUUUUAUUAUUACUUCUGUUGCGCAUUUUGGCUACGUUACUCUUACGUGACGGGCAUCAUGUUUCGACUUCGGUUGGGGUGUGUCAUAAAAGCCUCUUCAAGUCUUCAUGAUUUGGCUUGCAGAGAUAUGUGGCUCCAUAUGUGGCCUGAAUUGCCCCACAGAAGCGCUCCAGGUUUUUAAUAGCAGUAGUCUCCGCAAGUCGGCAAUACUCAUCAGUUGAGUUUGCAGAGCACUCAUUAGCUAGCAUCCGAAAUGCAGAUGUGAGCUUCUGAUGAGGUGAUAGACUUUGUCGGCCUACGACAUUUAUCUUCCUUGCAAAGUAGUGGUCAUGAUUGACAACUGUGUUCAAGAUGCUUUCAAAAAUCUCUCUCCUCAUUCGAAACCGUCUCCGAAAAUCAUGAGCAGGAAAUCUCGGACGCUCAAUAAAAUAAUAUUUCAUCAUUCGGUCAUGACACUCUUCUCUAUCACGUUGCACAAAUGAACGCUUCGUGACAUAACCACAAUAGCUAGAUUCGACAUGGUGCUCAUAUUGCAUAAGCGAGUUUGGAAGUUUAGCUUAUGCGUUGAUCAUUUUUGAAUCCUCAAUGUCAAGGCUUGCUUGGUAUUAUGUCAUUUGCAUUGCCCUGCUACACCUUCUUCUAUCAUCCAUUGUUGAUAUAUUGAGGAUUUUUAUGAAACAAAAACACUUUGAAAGUUGAAAGAUUAGUGAAUAUAGGGAAUGAUUGAAGGUUGAAAGAUUGUGUGACCAACUGAUAUUGAACAUGUGUUUAUAUAGAGGAUGAUUGAUGAAAGUUGAAAGUUUGGUGAAAGUUGAACGGUUGGUGAAAGUUGAAGAUUUGUGAAAGUUAAAGACUUGCUUUGUGGAAAGAUUUAGUGAUUUUUUCAAUAUUUAUUGGAAUUUAAAUAUUUUUAUAUUAAAAUGUUCAUAAAAUUAAUUUACCAUAGGCUACAUAAUUUUUUUUAAAAGUUAAUUUAAGAAAAAAAAUUAGCCUAAGUUCAUUCUUUAAUAAUCCCGAACUAAAAUUUUAGGCUAGGGUUGGAGCAGAAAAACUGUUUCUGUGUUAAAAGCUAAAUUUUUUAGAUUAAAAAUUUUAAAUUUUAACCCAAAGGUUGGAGAUGAUUUAAGAAUGGAUAAACUUAACCAAGAAAAGAAGAAAAAAGAUGAAGGGCAAAUAAGUGAGAAGCAACAUGACACGACACACGGACGACCAUAGCAAUAAAGCGUGCGUCCUCACGUCCAUUGAAUAUAUAGAUGGGAGCUACAACAUCGUGUUUCACGUGCAUGUGUAUUAUACAUAAAGGCAUAUACAGUGUUAGCUUAUAUAUUAUAAAGUUUGUAGGCCACUUACCCAAUUUGGCAUAUGUUUUAUCUUUUUACGUGAAUAACCAAUGUGUUAUGAUGAUACAAGUCUCUUAACAUAUCCGGAGUUAGAAAUAUCAUAAGACAGUGUUGCGAUCAUAUUGAAAUUAAUUGACAGUUUGUAUUAUAUAUUUGAUUAUUCUUUAUUAACUUAAGGAGACAGCAUACUUAGACCUAAUUUAGUCACAUUCUCCAACCGAAAAUAAAGCGGUGUAGUAUUCAUACACUUUUUUUUAUUUCUUACACAGUCUUAAUUAAUUUCUAUUGUUUGAUCUUCUUCAAUUCAUUCGAUCUGACGACCGAAAAUUAAGAUGGUGUGUGGACGAGUAAAUUAUAACAAUGGUCCCUCAACUUUAAUCAAAUUGGAGCAAGGGUGCUCAACUAAAAAUCCAUUACCAUUGGUUCCUCAACUCAUCAAAAUGUGUAGCUAUGGUCAUUUUCGUCAACUUCGUUACAAUUUUGUCAAAAUAAGUUAUAUUGGAAUGACUAUUGCUACAAUUGGGGUCCCUCAACUCAUCAAAACGUGUAGCUAUGGUCAUUUUCAUCAAUUUCGUUAGAAUUUUAUCAAAAUGAGUUUUGUUGGAAUGACCAUUGCUACAAUUGAAUUAAAGUUGAGGGACUAUUAUUUCAAUUGAGUUAAAGUUGAAAGAUCAUUUCUUCAGUUGUAUUAAAGUUGAAGGAUCAAUGGUAAUGAAUUUUUAGUUGAGGGGACUAUAGCUGCACGUUUUAAUGAGUUGAGAGAACAAUAAUAAUGAAUUUUUAGUUGAAAAACUAUUACUUCAAUUGAGUUAAAAUUAAGAAACAAUUGCUACAAUUUUUUUAUAUGGAAAGUGGAUGAUGUGAAUAGCACAUCCAAAAAUAAAAGGGAACUUUAACGAAAAGCACCCGGUACUGUUCACUUUAACGAAAAACCACAUUUUUACACUAAAAAGUCAAUCCUGGUACUAUUCACUUUACCCUUUAUUUUGUCCUUAUCAUUAAAACUCAAAGUUUUCAAGCCCUUUUCAUUAGUUUUCCUAAAAUAAAAUGCACCACAAUUUGGUAGGAUCUUCCUGUUGAGAGUAAUAAAUUAAUAAUUGCCGAAAUAUUGGAUAAUUUGUCGGCCACAACGCUAUGAGGGAGUAUCUGGGGAUGAAUAUACUCUUGCCGACAGAUGCCCAAAUUCCAACUGCCAUUCAAAUGAGCCCUCCACCACCACCGGCCAUAAUAAAUUCUCUUUCUUUAGUGAAGAAGAAAAAGAGGUACUUGGCCCUCACCUCAACUUUUUGAGAAAGAACAAGUUUAUCGCUAUCAGAAUGUUUCGGUCAAUUAUAUAAGUUAUGUGUAAAUUUUUCUUUAGAUAACAUUACAUUAUUAUAUUUAAAAUGUUCCGUAACGAUAAAUUUGUUUCAUACAAAUUAUUCUCCAACUUCUUGGAUUUUUCUCCUUUUUCCCGAAAACCAGCUUAUAUUAGUGUUCAUCCUCUGUCAAUAUCACUCGCCCACAACUAUUCAACUAACUUUUAAUAAUUUGACAACGUGUCAUAUUUUUGUGCAAAGCGGGCCCAUUUUUGUGGGUGAUAUAAUAAUGGCGUAUGUGGUUUGUCAAGACAUAUACUCAUUUAUCCAUUAGCAGUUAGGUAAGUCACCUCACUCACCCACAGCCUAACACAUCAACAAAUAUUGCUUACAAAUUCUAGAAAAUUCGACCAAGAAAAAAAACCAAAUGCUCGCAAAUUAAAAUUGUGUAACAUGAUUAGUUUUUUAUCCAUUAGUAUUAAUUUUACGUUGGAAGAAAUUCCAAAUUUAUUCUUGUAAAGAGGGAUAUGAAAAUACUUUGUAUGUCUAUCACCAAAAUCUUCGAAUGUUUGAAUGGUUGAUUUUCAAGUCUCACACAAUUGGAUUUAGUUCAAGUGAGAAAGAAAUACACUCAAACUAUUAGAUAUGAGGAAUGAAAAUACACUACAAAAUCUUGUGAACAUUUCUAAUAUUCUCUUCUAUCUACUUUUUGUGAACCAAGUUUUUAUUUGUUUUUUUUUUUAACAAAAGAUAUUUUUUAUACUAGGGAAAUAAGGUGGGUUUAGCCUCAUAAUGGGCUAACAUAAUCUAGUUCAAACUUGCAUUUGGUGAGAAUCGAACCUAAAAUCUCUCACUUACAAGUGAAGAGGAAUACCAUUAGAAGUGUCAUGAAAUUAGCAGUCUUAUAUGUAAAAAAUUGAUUGACUAAAUGCUGUGUUAAAAAACAAGAUUAAUACUUGCAUCUCCCCACUUGGAAAAUGCAAAUAUUUCAUUUCUUGCAAAUAACGUAUAUCAUGCGUUCUGUUCAAUCGCAUAUUCAAAAAUGUUAAAAACAAGAUUAAUAUUUCUAUCUCCCCACUUGGAAAAUGCAGUAUUUCAUUUUUUACGAAUAACGUAUAUCCUGUGUUCCGUCCAAUCGCGUAUUAAAAAAAUGUGUGAAGUUUGGAUUAACUACACUCUUUGAGAAUUUCCUUAAAUAACCACUUUUUGAAAAUUUCUUAUAGGACUAAGUGAGUCUCCGCUGAGAAUUUCCUUAACUAACACAACACUACUUGAGUGAUAAUUUGUUAUAUCUUGAAUAGAGAAUAAAUCAGUUCCCUACUUUUGAAGGUACUAUUAACUUACACUAUAUUUGAAUGAGAACAAUAAACUUAGAAUUUAGAUGAAGGAAAUAAAACAGUUUCCUACUUUUGAAGGUACUACUCGAGUGAUAAUUUGUUAUAUCUUGAUAACGUGUCAUAUUUUUUUGCUAAGCGGACCCAUUUUUGUGGGGUGGUAUAAUAAUGGCGUUUGUUGUUUGUCAAGGGCAUAUACCCAUUUAUCCAUUAGCAGUUAGGUCACCUCACUCACCCACAACCUAGUACAUCAACAAAUAUUGCUUACAAAUUCUAGAAAAUUCAACCAAGAGAAAGAAAACCAAAUGCUCGCAAAUUAAUCUGUGUAACAUUAGUUUUUAUCCAUUAGUAUUUAUUUUACAUUGGAAGAAAUUCCAAAUUUAAUCUCGUAAAGAGGGAUAUGAAAAUACUUUGUAUAUCUAUUAUCAAAAUCUUUGAAUGUUUGAAUGAUUGAUCAUCAAGUCUCACACGAUUGAAUUUAGUUCAAGUGAGGAAGAAAUACACACAAACUAUUAUAUAUGAGGAUUGAAAAAUACACUACAAAAUCUUGUGAUAACAUUUCUAAUAUUCCUUUCUAUCUACAUUUUGUGAUAAGUUUUUUUUUUCCUUUUUUGAACAAACUAUAUUUAUCUACAUUAAGGGAGAGGAGGUGAUCUUAGCCUCACAAUGGGCUAGCAUAAUGUGGUUCAAAUUCGCCUUUGGCGAUAAUCGAACCUAAAACUUAUCAUUUACAAGUAAAUAGGAAUACCACUAGAUGGAUCAUGAAAUUAGCAGUCUUAUAGGUAAAAAAAAAUUGAUCGACUAAAUGAUGUGUUAAAAAACAAGAUUAAUACUUGCAUCUCUCCACUUGAAAAAUGUAGAUAUUUCUGUGAACACGGAAAAUUCCUGAAACGAAAGAGACAAGAACAACGUGCACAAAAUAAUAUUUUGGUGUUAAUGGAUUUGUUGGGUUACGAUCUCUUUUAACUUGAUCCUCUGAUUCGAUCUCCGUAAGGUGUUGAUUUAUGGAUGUUUCGUUGAUCCAAGGGCUGUUGAGGCUUGAUCUUAGAUGAACUGUUGGAAGUUUCUUCAAGGGGCCGUGGGCUUGAUCUUUGAAGGUGGAUUUGAGCGGAUCUUCAAGGAGCCGUUGGGGCUUGAUCUUGAGGAUGAGUGUUUCUUCAAGGGCCGUUAAGGCUUGAUCUUGAAUAACGGUGAUGAACGGAUCUUCAAGGGCUUUUGGGCUUGAUCUUGAAGAACGGUUGGAUGUGUGGAUUUGUUGAUGUUGUUGAUCCAAGGGCCGUCGGAGCUUGAUCUUGGAAGAACGAUGAACGAAGAACGAAGAACACUUUCUUCAAAGGCCGUCGGGGCUUGAUCUUGAAUUGGUGAUUGUUGAUCCAAGGGCCGUCGGGGCUUGAUCUUGGAAGAACGAUGAACGAAGAACGAAGAACACUUUCUUCAAGGGCUGUCGGGGCUUGAUCUUGAAUUGGUGAUUGUUAAUCCAAGGGCCGUCGGGGCUUGAUCUUGAUUCUUCGGGAUGAACGGAUGAUGAACAAUGAACACUUUCUUCAAGGGCCGUCGGGGCUUGAUCUUGAAUUGGUGGAAGUUCUUCAAGGGCCUUUGGGGCUUGAUCUUGAAGGUGGAUGAUUGUUGAUCCAAGGGCCGUCGGGGCUUGAUCUUGGGAUGAACAGUUGUGUGGAUUUGUUGAACACUUUCUUCAAGGGCCGUCGAUGCUUGAUCUUGAAUUGGUGGAAGUUCUUCAAGGGCCGUUGGGGCUUGAUCUUGAAGGAGGAUUUGACGAAGAACGAAGAGGGCUUUCUUGAUCCUUCGGGAUUUGCUUGAAUUUGGGAGGUUGGAUGCUUGAAAGCUUUAGAGUUUCAAAGCUUCAAGGAUUUUGGAUGUGUGGGGAGUAUUCUCUUCCAUUUUGGGAGUAGAGAAAUGUAUUUGUGAAUUGGUUUUUGAUACCUUGAUGUAGAAGCCUAUUUAUAGGCUUUGAGAAUGAAUCACCACCACAAAAUAUUUUUUUUCUUUUCCAAGCACCAUUGCCUAAUUUCCCACUUAAUACAAUUUUAAACUUGAAGUGGUAAUUUUAUGGCCUAAUUUUCCACUUAAUAUCAUUUUAAACUUGAUAUGUGCAUGCUUUGUCAUUGCCCAAAAUGAGAAGAAAACCUUGUUUUGAUCUUCAAUGAAUUGAAAUGUGCUUGCCUUGUCAUUGCCCAAAAUGAGAAGAAAAACUUGUGUAAUCCUUCAAGGGUAUUUCUUUUUAUUUUGUUGAGUCGCACACCAUGUGUACAAUUUGUAUGACACGUGGCAUAUGCCAUGUACGCCUUGACACGUCAAAAUUUUAAUGCGUUGGUGAACAUUUAUUUCACCGCAAUUUCGGUGUCUACAAAUGCCCCCACUUCAAGGUGCGUCGUAUACAUGUGCUUGUCACGUGUAGGAGAUGCGUUUUGAAGUCCCUUACUGUAGAUGUCAAUCCAAUGGCCAUCGAGGCUUGAUCUUGAAUUGGGCUGGAGAUUUCUUCAAGGGCCGUUGAGGCUUGUUCUUGGACUUUGUUUGAAAUUUCUUCAAGGGCCAUCGAGGCUUGAUCUUGAAGGUUGAAAUUGGACCACAAGGAGCUUCAUGUGGUAGAUGAUCUUUGGCUUUGGUAGUGGAUGAAUCGGCACGUAUUUGUUUUUGCGCUUUGUUGACUUUCCACAGCUUUGAUCUUGAACUGGGUUGGAGGAUUUUUUGGAUUCCUCCAAUUGUUGAUUUUCCACAGUUUAUUCUUGAACUGGAUUUGAUUCAAAUAUGGUGGACGCUUGAUCUUGAAUCGGACUUGUGAUUUCCUCAAGGGCCGUCGAGGCUUGAUCUUGAAUUUGGCCGGAAACUUCUUCAAGGGCCGUUGAGGCUUGAUUCUUGAAGGUUGACUCGAACACAUGGCAAGCAGGCACGAGGUGAAGGUGACGACUUGUUGCUUUGUUCAAUCUUUCUAAUUCACACCUGAGCAGUUUGGUCAACGGUAUGAUCUUCAAGAUUGAUGGGCUCUUCUUCCAGUUGGUGAUUUGAUCUUUAAGGAUUUGAUUCAAGGGUGGUGAAACGGCACAUGCAGCCCACAACGCCUAGCAAGUCGACCCAAGAAUUUGAGGGUUAAAACGAGUCCUCCACCCAGAGUGAUUGCAAACCUGAUGAUAUGAGAUACUUUUGAUUUUGAAGAAGUAGCGGAUGAAUCGGCACGUGCUUUGUUGUGCUUGUCUCCACAUGCUUCAAUGUAUCAUUUUCCCUUGUCUUAUCUAUUCUUCUAGCAGAAUGUAGCAUCUUCUUAAGUUCUUCAACUCAGACUCCUUCUGCUGAGCUGACUGUGCAGGCUGCAUUAUUCUCUGCUUGUUUCUUUAGGCAGAUGUGGCAGCUUCUUGAGUUCCUCAGCUCGGACUCCUUCUGCUGAGCUGAUUGUGAAGACUGCAUUCUUAUCUGCUUGUUUCUUCUGUACGUUGUCUCCACAUGCUGCAAGGUAUCAUUUUCAAUUGCCUUAUUUGUUUUCCAGGCAAAUGUGGCAUCCGAGUUUGAGUGGAGGUUCUGGCAUAUUGUUUUCUUUAUCCUUGUCUUUGUAGGUAAGAACAAGGACAAAGGAAAGGACAGGGAGAACGCAUGAUAUGAUAUACUCUUGCUUUCUACCCUGGUGAUAUGAGAUACUUUUGCUUUGGUGUCAUUUGUUUGCAGAGGUACCCCAAGGAAUAAGAAACACUGAGUGACUCGAGAGGCUUUGUUGGGAAGGCAUUCUAGGAGAUGAAGAAAGGUUCUUGGAGAUGAAGAAAGGUUCUCGGAGAUGAAGAAAGGUUAUGUAUGUCUGCCUUGCUAUGGAGGGUAAAGGUGGACAGUUAUAGGAAAUUCUUUAGUACCUGUAGAGGUACUAUUCUUUUACUCGUGUCGGCAACCAAUGUGUGAUUGAUCAGUAUGGCUUCACGUGUUUUCUUCUUUAUCAGAAAUCUUCGACAAAUUGUCCGUAAUUUUCGUCAAGCUGAGUGUGCAUGUGACAGGUGUUGACGAGGCUGAAAAAGACUGGUGCCUCUUCGAUAUCUGGGAUCGGCGCUUCGACAAAUUGCCCGUGAUUUCCGCAAAGCUGAGUUUGCGCGUGACGGGUGCUGACGAGGCUGAAAAAGACUGGCGCCUCUUCGAUAUCUGGGAUUGGCGCUUUAACAAAUUGCCCAUGAUUUCUGCAAAGCUGAGUUUGCACGUGACGGGUGCUAACGCGUCUGGAAAAGCAAGAUGCUUCUCCGAUUUCUGAGCUUGCCUCUUUGAUUUUUGAAUUGGCCUCUUCGAAUUCUGAGCUCGCCUCUUCGAUCUUUGAAAUCCCAUCGAGUGUUGAUCUUUAUAGAGGCACGCAGUUCGUUUCAAAGCACACUUGAAUUUUCGCUUGUAGAAACUCCCUUCUUGCACUUCUAAGAUCUUGAUUUGUCCGACCUCUUCUUUCUUCAACACCUUUGAAAAUGUCUGGACCCUCCGACCGUCAUUUUGAUUUGAACCUUGGUGAAGAGGUAGUCCCGUCUUCUCCAGAUAACAUAUGACGCCCAUCUUUCAUAUCCCCUACUGGUCCUCUUACCGUUGGGGAUUCGGUGGUGAAGAAUGAUAUGACCGCUGCGGUGGUGGCCCGAAACCUUGUCACUCCCAGAGAUAACAGACUACUUUCCAAACGGUCUGAUGAGUUGGCUGUUAAGGAUUCUCUGGCUCUCAGUGUGCAGUGUGCAGGUUCUGUGUCUAAUAUGGCCCAACGCCUAUUUGCUCGAACCCGUCAAGUUGAAUCAUUGGCGGCUGAAGUGAUGAGUCUCAAACAGGAGAUAUUAGAGGGCUCAAGCAGAGAGAUAAACAGUUGCAUAAGCUCGCACAUAGCUAUGCGACAAACAUGAAGAGGAAGAUUAACCAGAUGCAGGAAUCUGAUGGUCAGAUUUUACUUGAUCAUCAGAGGUUUGUGGGUUUGUUCCAGCAGCAUUUGCCUUCGUCUUCUGGGGCUGUACCGCGUAAUGAAGCUCCAAAUGAUCAACCCUUGGCUCCUCUUCUUCCUGGAGUUCCGCCGAGUGGUGUGGCUUCAAACAGUCAACCUCCGACGCCUCUCAUUUCUGGAGCUCUGCUGAGUGGUGAGGUGGCACCUAAUCGUCCUUGAAGAUCCCCUCUUGUAAAUUUGAUUUGAUUUUUUUUUAAGUAUGUAUAAUGCAAAUUUAUGUAAAAUUUCCAGAAAAAAUAAAUAAAAACGGACUUUAUUUCUCUCAAUGCAUUUGUUUUGUUUUGUUUUUGUUUUUUUUGUUUUUUUGUUUUUGUUUUUUUUGUAAAUACAUAAUAACAUAUGUAUUUAUUUAUUUAUUCUUUUGUAAUAAAAUUGACUUUCUUUAAUAAAACUUUUAUAUUUUUCUUAUUUAUUUUGAUAUGACUGAACUCGAAAUUGAAUGUUCGAGCCGCCUACGUACCCUUCCAAAGAAGAGAUCAAGCCAUAACGUAGUUCAAAUGAGUGAUGAAUUUAAUAGUGAUUUUGAUGAUGAUUUUGCCGUACACAGUUUAUGCUCUUGUGGGCCAGGAGCUUUGGUGUUGCCUUUUAUGCUCGUGCAGACCAGGAGCGUUGAUGUCGCCUUUUAUGCUCGUGUGGGUCAGGAGCGUUGAUGUUGCCUUUUAUGCUCGUGCAGACCAGGAGCUUUGUGCCAUGCAGUUUAGACUCGUGCGGGCAAGGAGCUUUGGUUCGUGCAGUUUAGGCUCAUGCGAACAAGGAGCAUUGGUUCGUGCAGUUUAGGCUCGUGCGAACAAGGAGCAUUGGUGUUGCCUUUUAUGCUCGUGCAGACCAGGAGCUUUGUGCUAUGCAGUUUAGACUCGUGCGGGUGAGGAGAAUUUGUGAAUUUUGUCAAGCACUUUUGGAGAGGCGUUCCUUACAAUCUUCAUAGCAAGGAGCCUUGACCGAGUGAUUGAAGAAGUCUUCGGGAAAGAAGUCGCACAUCGUGAUGGCAACAGACGAUCUUUGUGUCGUAAUUUCAUCAUCUUCAACACGUUCACGUUGCUUUGAAGGUUGACAAGAGCUGCUUUGCCCCCUUUCCGAUUGGCGGACUUGUGGAGGAGACGUAUGCUUCUUGUGCCAUUUCUUAGGAGUGACUUGAGUCCAUCCUUCAAGUUUGCUUGUUUUGGAGGAUGCCCCCGGCGGUUGAGGUGAAAAUUUUGUGUUGAAAGAGCCAGAAGUGAUGGUGGUAUAGUUUGACUUCACCACAUCGUCAAGAUCUAGCUCGAUGAUUCCUUUCUGAGCCCACUUUAUGAUGAGAUCUUUCAGCACAAAGCACUUUUCUGUCGGAUGACUGAUGAAGCGGUGGAAUUUACAGUAUCUUGGACUGUUGGUACGAUUCAUCUCUUCCGGCCAUCUGCACUCAGGCAAACUGAUCACCUUCUUGUCCAACAGGUCAUCCAACAUGGCAACCACAUCAGAGUCAGGGAAUGGAUAAGUCUUCUCUUUAAGCUCCUUCAAAGUGCGUCUACGCAUCUCUUGAUCACGAAAAGCUUCGGUUUGAAUCGUUUUGCCUCGUGUGGAGAUUUUGACGGGAGAUGUGUUGACUGUCAUUGCUUCCUUGGUGGAUUUCCACGUAGCCUUCUCCACCUUUGUCUCAAGAAUUUUGUCGUUCUUGUAGUCGGCGAUCGGUUCCUUCUUCCCAUGAUGGGUGAUGCUCAACUCCAUGUCAUGGGCGUGGGUGGCCAAUUCCUCGAAGGUCCGUGGUUUAAUGCCUUGAAGGAUGUAUUGCAAACCUCAUUGCAUGCCUUGGAUGCACAUCUCGAUUGAAGAGGUCUCCGAGAGCCUAUCUUUGCAGUCGAGGCUUAGAGUGCGCCAUCUGUUGAUGUAGUCAAUGACCGGCUCAUCUUUCCAUUGCUUCAUACUUGUGAGCUCCAACAUGCUUACAGUGCGGCGGGUGUUGUAGAAGCGGUUGAGGAAUUCCCGCUCCAAUUGCUCCCAGCUGUUGAUGGACUCAGGCUCUAGGUCCGUGUACCACUCAAAUGCGUUUCUUUUCAGCGAGCGCAUAAACUGCUUGGCGAAGUAGUCCCCCUCCGUCCCCGCGUUGUUGCAAGUUUUGACGAAAUGUGCAACGUGCUGCUUUGGGUUUCCUUUUCCAUCAAACUGCAUGAACUUUGGUGGUUGAUAUCCCAUCGGCAUCUUUAGGGCAUCAAUCUUCUUUGAAUAAGGCUUUGAGUACAACCCGGAGGUAUUUGAGCUCCCUUCGUACUAUGCCUUGACGGUGCUGGCAAUCAUCUCUUGCAACUGUUGGAUAGAAAGAGAUCCCAUGAGUGCCGCUUCUUGGUCUGGCUCCGGCUUCACAUCGAUUUUCUCCACCGUAGGCUCAUCUUCUGGGUUAGGGUUCUCGCUGUCCUGUGGCUCCAGUUGACUGAUGAGUGCAGCGAUUUGCAAGUCUUUUUCUUCCACAGUUCGGGUUAGCCUUGCGAUUGCUUCAUUCAUUUGAGCCAGUUGUUCUUCGAUGGAGGUAACGCCGAUGGUCAUGACUUGUGCAACCAAUAGACGUGACUUUCCUUUAGACAUCCAAGAUGCUGAAGAAGAACGUCAUUGGUUGUUUUGGGAUGUCAUCUUGUGUGCCUCAGCAACAUGCUUUGGUGCCCCCAGCGAGGUCAGGUUGAUGACAGACUCACACCUUUGAUGCUCCCUUUGCUCUUUUAGCGGCACCAACUUUGAAGUGGCAUGUUAAGGAGCGGUUGUGGUGCUAAUGGAUUGUCCAUUUGCGGCAGAAGUGCUUAGGAUCCUUCCCUCAGUGAUUGCGAGAACGGCUUGUCCCUUGCUUGAUGCCAUUGAUUUUGAGGUGUGUUUGGAUUCCUUAAACGGAGAAAGAUAUGAGAGGUAGAGAUUGUCCCACCGGGCGUGCCAAUUUGUGAACACGAAAAUUUCCUGAAACGAAAGAGACAAGAACAACGUGCACAAAAUAAUAUUUUGGUGUUAAUGGAUUUGUUGGGUUACGAUCUCUUUUAACUUGAUCCUCUGAUUCGAUCUCCGUAAGGUGUUGAUUUAUGGAUGUUUCGUUGAUCUAAGGGCCGUCGAGGCUUGAUCUUGGAUGAACUGUUGGAAGUUUCUUCAAGGGGCCGUGGGCUUGAUCUUUGAAGGUGGAUUUGAGCGGAUCUUCAAGGAGCCGUUGGGGCUUGAUCUUGAGGAUGAGUGUUUCUUCAAGGGCCGUUAAGGCUUGAUCUUGAAUAACGGUGAUGAACGGAUCUUCAAGGGCUUUUGGGCUUGAUCUUGAAGAACGGUUGGAUGUGUGGAUUUGUUGAUGUUGUUGAUCCAAGGGCCGUCGGGGCUUGAUCUUGGAAGAACGAUGAACGAAGAACGAAGAACACUUUCUUCAAAGGCCGUCGGGGCUUGAUCUUGAAUUGGUGAUUGUUGAUCCAAGGGCCGUCGGGGCUUGAUCUUGGAAGAACGGUGAACGAAGAAUGAAGAACGAAGAACACUUUCUUCAAGGGCCGUCGGGGCUUGAUCUUGAAUUGGUGAUUGUUAAUCAAAGGGCCGUCGGGGCUUGAUCUUGGAAGAACGAUGAACGAAGAACGAAGAAGGCUUUCUUGAUUCUUCGGGAUGAACGGAUGAUGAACAAUGAACACUUUCUUCAAGGGCCAUCGGGGCUUGAUCUUGAAUUGGUGGAAGUUCUUCAGGGCCUUUGGGGCUUGAUCUUGAAGGUGGAUGAUUGUUGAUCCAAGGGCCGUCGGGGCUUGAUCUUGGGAUGAACAGUUGUGUGGAUUUGUUGAACACUUUCUUCAAGGGCCGUCGAUGCUUGAUCUUGAAUUGGUGGAAGUUCGUCAAGGGCCGUUGGGGCUUGAUCUUGAAGAAGGAUUUGACGAAGAACGAAGAGAGCUUUCUUGAUCCUUCGGAAUUUGCUUGAAUUUGGGAGGUUGGAUGCUUGAAAGCUUUAGAGUUUCAAAGCUUCAAGGAUUUUGGAUGUGUGGGGAGUAUUCUCUUACAUUUUGGGAGUAGAGAAAUGUAUUUGUGAAUUGGUUUUUGAUACCUUGAUGUAGAAGCCUAUUUAUAGGCUUUGAGAAUGAAUCACCACCACAAAAUAUUUUUUUCUUUUCCAAGCACCAUUGCCUAAUUUCCCACUUAAUACAAUUUUAAACUUGAAGUGGUAAUUUUAUGGCCUAAUUUUCCACUUAAUAUCAUUUUAAACUUGAUAUGUGCAUGCUUUGUCAUUGCCCAAAAUGAGAAGAAAACCUUGUUUUGAUCUUCAAUGGAUUGAAAUGUGCUUUGCCUUGUCAUUGCCCAAAAUGAGAAGAAAAACUUGUGUAAUCCUCCAAGGGUAUUUCUUUUUAUUUUGUUGAGUCACACACCAUGUGUACAAUUUGUAUGACACGUGGCAUAUGCCAUAUAUGCCUUGACACGUCAAAAUUUUAAUGCGUUGGUGAACAUUUAUUUCACCGCAAUUUCGAUGUCUACAAUUUCAUUUCUUGUGAAUAAUGUUUAUCCUGUGUUCUGUCCAAUCGCGUAUUAAAAAAUGUGUGAAGUUUGGAUUAACCACACUCUUUUAGAAUUUCCUUUAUUUACCACUUUUUGAGAAUUUCCAAUAAGACUGGGUGAGUCUCCGCUGAGAAUUUCCUCAACUAACACCACACUACUUGAGGGAUAAUUUGUUAUAUCUUUGAAUAAAGAAUAAAACAGUUUCCUACUUUUGAAGGUACUAUUAACUUACACUAUAUUUGGAUGAAGGUCAAACUUUAUAAAUUGACAUACACCAAAUUCUUUGUUUGGAUUCAUAAACAUAUAAAUUUAGAAUUUCCGCGUGGAAAAAAAAAAUACUUAGAAUUUGAGACCUCCAAUUCUCAAAUUGAAAGUUUAAAAAUAAUAAAUUCCGUAUUCAAUUCAAUUGUUCUUUUAGGUUAACCAAAUAAGAAAAUUCACAAAUUCUAAAAUAUAAAAUCUCAUCAUUUCAAUUUCCGUCAUUUUAAAAUUCCUUAGUAAUAUUAAAUUUCUUCAUCCAAACAUAGUGUUAAGAAAUUUUUUAAAGAUACACUAUUUACACUCAUUUUUAUUUCUUACACAUUUAUUAACUUUGUCCAUUGAUUUCUUCAAUUCAUUUUGCCAGUUAUACAAAAAUUGAGAACAGUAUUUAUGAAUUAAAAAUACAUUUGUAGAUGUCACUACCAAAUUUUUAUUCCUAAUUCAAGAAAAUCUUAUCCAUAUAUGAUUGCCCUUGCCCACUUUAAAUGGGUGCCAUCACUUUACGAUAGAGCAAUCCUAACCGUCCACCUAGGUAAGCAUAACUGGCGAUGCAUGUCGCAAGGGGACCGCAUUGCACAAUAUAAUUAUACUAGUUGAUAAGACAAGUGAUGUCAAUCAAUAAAUUAUUUCAUUAAAACUUAGUUGUAUGUAUCAUAUGUUGUAAUGUAGGGUGUAUGAUAUGCUGACGCUGUAAAAAAAUGUAACCUUUUUAAUAUUACUCAUAAUAGUAAGACUUACCAGUAUUAGGAUGUUAUCAGUGGAAUGAGAAUCCUCUCCAGAUCUUUUUUGUGAGCUAUUAUUUGUAUUUAAUUUUAAAUAUAAAAAAUUAAAAUAAUUUAUGACGGCAGUGAUUCACAUGAUCUUCACAAAGAGAAUCCAAAUAAUCUUAAUUUAUAUCAGUGUGUCUAGAUAACAUGAUCGAGCCCCUUUACUUUUACCCUAUUUAGUAUUUUACAUUUGAACCUGUAAAUAUUCGAUUUUUCUUUGGUGCAACCGAGCACCAAAUAUAGAUUUUUUUUCACUUUUAUAUAAUGAUAAAUAAAGGGCAAUUGGCAGAUUUGAAUUCCAUUCGGAUUGGUCAAAAAUCAUUUUAAAUUGUUUUAUUUAAAAUUAAACACAUAUAGUACUUAAUAAAAAUUAGUCGUACAAUAUACGAUAAACAGAUAUAAUGUAAGGACCUUUAUGAUCUUCACAAAAAAGAUCCAAAGGUUGUGUAGCUGUUUCAAAAGGAUAAUACUCACUUUUGAUUAGUUCAAUGAAAUUUUAAACAUGUUUUAUUGUUUUAAAAAAUAAUAAACAUAUUUAUUAAUGUUUGUUUUACUUUAAAAAAUAAGCAGCACUUGACAACAUUUGAUUGUGCUAAAUAAAAAAUGAGUGACCACUUAGUACUACAGUCUUAUGAUAUUUUUCUUCAUUUGAAAGUGAGAGGUUUUAAGUUCGAAUCUCGUGGAUGACGAAUUUGAUAUCAAAUUAGAUUGCUCACUAUGUGGCUUAGCCGAACUCUCAUUUCCUUUAAUGUAAAAAUAUUGAUGUAUUCAAAAAAAUAAAAAGUGACUAUAGAGGACACUCAAUCUCAGCUGUAUGAUUAAAUCAGACGGUAAGAAAAAUUCUGCAAGCAUACUCGGUUACAUUAAUUGAAGAAAAAAUGGGUAAAUAUUGGGCACCAACGUUAUAAAUACCCUCCACCAUGCACCCAACUCCCUCACACCAUCACAACCCACGUUACAAAUCCUCCUCCUCAUCAUAACCAUUCUGUUUUCCGCAUAAUAUCCAAAAACCUAUCAUGUCUGAAGAGAAACACCACCGCGGUCUCUUCCACCACCACAAGGAUGAAGACAAACCCUCAGACUACCCUCAGUCUGGCUACUCUGAUGAAGGACGUCCCGGCGGCCUCGGUGGUGGUUACGGCGACACCAAUGAUUAUUCUGGUGAAGGACGUACCGGCGGCCUAGGUGGUGGCUAUGGCGACACCAAUGCUUAUUCUGGUGAAGGACGUCCCGGCGGCUAUGGCGGCUAUAACGAGACCACUGCUUACUCUGAGGAAAGAGUUGAAAGACCCGGCGGUGGCCGGUACAGUGAGACUACUGCGGCAUAUGGCAGCACCACCACUCAUGAAUCUGAACUUGAUUACAAGAAGGAGGAGAAGCACCACAAGCAUCUCGAGCACCUCGGCGAGGCCGGUGUAGCUGCUGCCGGCGCUUUUGCCUUGGUACGUAUUGUAUUUUAACCCACCUCUAUAUAUAUAUAUAUUAGAAUAAUGCUAAUAAGACCAAAUUUUGAAAACUAAAUGAUGUGGUUGUUGAUAAUGAACUUAUUACUCAAGUCUUGAUUAACAUGCUUAUUUUCUAAUAGUGACACAUUAUUUGGUUUAGAAAUUUGGUCUUCCUAACUUUAUCAUUCUCAAAAUUUUCAUGAUUUUGAUAGGGUAAUACGGGAGAUCAAAAUUUCUAAACCAAAUUUGCAAACCAAUAGAUGAUUGGAUUAUUAAUUAAGUAUCGAUUGUUUGUUUCUUAUUAACGACAUAUCAUUUGAUUUACAAUUUAGUUAAAAAAAAUUUAUUCUUUCUGUCAUAUCCUUUUGAAUAUUUGAUCACUUUACUCUUUAUCACUUUACCCUUGAUCACUUUACCCAUACUCUUGCAACCGAAUCACCGUCCUCCUCCUUAACCUUCAUUUUUUUGUCUUACAGUACUCCAAUCUAUCAACUCUGUCCAUUGCAACUUUAAUUGUGAAGAAAAUUAAAGUCCUAUCGUAAAAUUAAUUAGUGAUAUGGAGAGUUGCGCAAUUAUUGAUGGACUAGGUAGGUAAGAUACGGAAUCAAAGUCUACCAUUAACAAUGGACGGAAUUGAUGAACCAUAUAGGUAUGUAAGAUACGGAAUCAAAGUCCUCAUGUAAAUGGUACAGUUGCAAUCAGGAGAAGAAAUGAGUUAACUGAUACCUUCGUAAUAGUUCAUGUAGAGUUUUGAUAUUAUUAAGCCUUAACCACCUGAUCUUAUAUAUACGAGGACAAAUCUAAUCAAAUAUGUGUUAAUUUCAAGGUUUGUUUUACAUUGAUGUGAGAUCGAUGCUAGCAAGAUAUAUAACUUAUGUCAGUUUCUAUAUGAUGUGUGUAGCAUGAGAAGCACAAUGAAAAGAAAGACCCAGAGCAUGCCCACAGGCACAAGAUAGAAGAGGAGAUUGCUGCAGCAGCUGCAGUUGGUUCGGGUGGAUUUGCCUUCCAUGAGCAUCAUGAGAAGAAAGAGACAAAGGAAGAAGAGGAAGAGGCUUAUGGAAAGAAGAAGCACCACCACUUCUAGAUCUAUGUGGAUUGUGGAACAUCAUCUUUUGACUACAUAUGCAAUGUUGUGUUUUUACUAGUUAUCAUGUGGUGUGAUCAGUGAGAGUGUGAUGCUUAAUCUCAACAAUAUCGCUACAAUAGUUGAGUGGUUAAAUGUCCUUUUCAAUUAAUGGGUGCUAUCUGGUUUUCUUUUAGCAUGCCAUCUAUGUAUGUAUGUAUGUAUGUAUGUCAUUGUUAUUGUUCAUAAUAAUACUGUUUACUCGGUGUUUAUUUCCUAGUGGCCACAUCUCAUUUUAAAUGAUUUCUUCAUACCAUUAAUUUUUUAAAUGUAAAGACUCAGUAUCCAUAUAACUACGAAAAUUUUUGACAAAACAAAAACAAGAAAAAAGAAAAGGAAAAAAUGGCUUAGCAAGUUUGUAUCCUAUAAGACAAAUGGGUACGUGGAACGAUGGACAUCUCACAAUGGUUUUUGAAUCGUCGGAUCAUCAUGGUUGGACUAUAUAAUUAUCAUUGAUAUAAUAUAAAUUUUGAUUUUUUUUUAGGAAAUUAAUAUCUGAAAACAAUAUUGAUGUACUGCAUUUGUUUUGGACGAUAUUAUACUUUAAUCCAAAUUUUGAGAAAAAAAAAACAUAUCGAACUCAGGUGUACAAGAGUGGCUUUGCUACCCAUGUACAGGGCUAGUUCUGAGUUUUUGGGUGCCCAGUGCGAAAGCUCAAAAUGUGACAUUUUUUAAUACGAAAACAUAUAUUAAAAAAAAUAUUUAAUGAGGGCUGGAACCCAGUCGAAGCUGGAGGGCUAGGACCUCACGCCCAAAUUAUAUUACUUGAGAAAAUAUACAACUGAGGAGGGGACAUGGUACCUAAACCCCGACAAUCAAAAGUACAAUCAUAUACAACCACUCCUAGCAAAUCUCCUUCAAAUUUCAACCUUUAAGAAAUUGUCUUCUGGCAUUUUUUGAAGCAAAAUCAUCAAUUAUAUCAUCAUACUCCAAGUCUUCAAUCUCAUCAUUUUCAAUGCAUAAGAUUGCUAAUCCAUUUAGCCUAUCUUGAGUCAUAGUGGUCCGCAAGUAAGAUUUUAAUAAUUUCAAUUUUGAAAAACUUCUUUUUGCAGAUGCCAUGGUCACAAGUACAGUUAACAGUACACGAUAAGCAAUCAAGACAUUAGGACACAUGUCAGUUUCUUUUACAAAAUUUGCUAUUUCCAUGGAUGUCCAAGGGUUAUUAGAGAGAAAUGCUUCUUCAGGUAAUAUCAUUUGCAAAACCUGCAAUUCGGAAUAUAAGUCAACUCCAUCUACAUCCAUGGUAUUUCCAUGUUUCAAAUGUGCUUCAAGAUUCAUACAAUUUUCUUUUAGCUCUUGAUCAUCCAAUGAAAUUAACUUUGGUGCAUCAAACAAGAAGCCAAAAAUAGAUUCAAAGGAUUUUAACUGUUCAAACUUGUGUUUCAGUUGAGAAAGAGCAAUAUCCACUAUAACAAGAAAAUAAUAUUUCCUAAAUGAUUCUUUAGCAGAUUAUUGUUCCCUCUCAUUACCAUCAACUUCAUCAUGAUGUCUUUUUCUAGGUCUAUGACAUUUAGUUUGAAAAAACAGGGUCAAUUUCCAAAUCAAGUGCAAUUUCAUUAGCAUCACUCAUGGCGGAAGCAAAACCAGUUUCUCUGUAGUUUCCAAAAAAUGUAACAAAUGCUUCAAAUGCCUUUACAGCAACAUCAAGACGCAUGUCUUUAGAUUGUAAUUUUAUGCUCACCAUGUUAAUCUUCAACAAAAUGUCAUACUAAAUAACCAAACUUAAUACAAAAUCAAAACUUGAAAGUUCGCCUGAUGCUAAACAUCUUGCAUCCCUACUUAAUUGAGGAUUUUCAGUAAUUUCCACCAAUUAAACAAAGCAUUUCUAACCUGGGCUACUUGAGACUUAAUUGCUUUAACAUUUUCAAUGUGACUUUCCCAUCGAGUAGUUGACAAUGACUUCAAAGUUAAACCAUCAAUAUGUUCAACCAAAAUAUUCCAACGCUUUGUAGAGUUGGAAAACACCAUAUAUAUGCAUUGACAUGCUCUAAAAAAAGAUUUUGCUUUAAGACAUGAACUUGCCAUAUCACAAACUAUUAAAUUAAGCUAAUGAAAACCACAUGGCAUGUAAAAGGCUAUGGGAUUUAUGUCUAACAAUCUUUUCUGGACAACUUGGUGUUUCCCUCUCAUGUUAGAUCCAUUAUCAUAACCCUGUCCCCUCAUAUCAUCAAUAUCAAGGUCUAAAAUAUCGAUAUUAUCCCGAUAUUUCUUUCGAAAUUUCUGUGUUUUUGGAUUACCGAUAUUUCCGAUAUCAUCGAUAUUUUAGACCUUGAUAGGAACUCUAUGUGAUACUAAGUCACUCAUGUAUCUUACCAUGCAAUGUAUAAAGUGUAAAAUAUUGUAUUAAUUCAUUAUAUAUAAAUGAUUAUGGUGUGUUUAACUUCUUUCAUUAAUUACUACAUAUUUUCUACACUCAAAAUGUUUGUCAGCUCACUAUAUAAUCAACUUAAAUAAGUUAAAUCCAUCAUGAAAUGCAUUUCGUUCCAAUUUUUUGUAAUAAACUAGUAGAUAAUUGACUAAAUAAACAUCCUGCAAAGUUUCAAUAAAAAUUUCCAAGUUUUUCUUAUAAUUUCCGUGGUUUUUAUUCAAUUUUUAUCGAUAUCGAUAAUAUCCCGAUAUUUCCAUCAAAAUUUCCGUAUUUUUGGACUAUCAAUAUUUUCGAUAUCAUUGAUAUUUUAGACCUUGAUCAAUAUCAAGAUCAAGAGAUUUUAGGACAUCUUGCAGCUCGUUAAAAAGCCCUUGUCCUAAUGUAUCUUUCACACUUAAAAACUCCAUGAAAUACUCCCUUAUAUUUAUUGACCUACUUGACAAGUCAACACAUCACAAAAUUAAAGUCAUCUGUUCCACAUGACUUGCAUUAGGAGUACAAUCAAGAAUGACAAAAAAAAAUUUGGCUUCUUUUACUUUUUUAAUGAUUGCGGUUUUGACUUUUGAAGCUAAAGUAGCUAUCAACUCAUUUUUGUUGGAAAUGUGCCCUAAAACCAAUCAUAUGAUGAUACUUUACGAACGUUUCACAUGUUAAACUAAUAUAGUUUAAUAUAAAGGGCAAAAAUUAUUGUUUGUAGCCGUCUCAUAUAAAUGUUAUACGCUUAAACGAUAAGUCCAAGGAAUAUGUAAUUGGGAGAAUGCGAUCUAAAGAAGUUAGAUUCAUGAGACCAUUCUCUUCCGUAUACAUAUCCUAAACGUUACUGAUCAUAGGAUUGUCAAUUGGGCAUUGAUAGUCUGUUAAGAUCAGUACGUGUUAUGUCUUCUCUUAAGGAGAGUGACUGGUCUCGAGUCAUUGGUGUGACUGACACCAAGACAAGCAUGUAGGUGCUCAAUAGAGAAUGAGUCCACUGAACACGAUCAACAAGGAGUUCUCAUACUCAUGUCACAUGAGAACUCGUGGUUGGAAUAAUGCAAAGUAGUCAUUUGACCUGAGGCAUCAUAGUUGUCUUGUGGUUAGGUCCUUGAUCUUUGACUAUGUCAAAGUCACUCCGUCAGAGGGUGUCCAUUGCAUAGUUGGGGUUAAGCCACUUAGCCAUGGAGGCAAGUGAAUGCACAAUAAGGGAUCUCUAACCUUCAAACUAUUUGAGGGAGAAUACUCUAUGAUAUGAUUAAGAAUCUCUGGCCAGAGUAUGAAUGAUAUUUAAGAAGUCGUUCCAAAUCACAUUCAAGGUAAUCAUAUAAGUAAGAGAAUCACAUUGGAUAGUAGACAUGAAUAAACUAUCAAACCAAACAAUGUGGUCAAGAGUAUUGUAUUAGAGUAAGACCGUAUUGCAUUGUAAUCCUAAACUAAAUAGGUUCUCCACCUCUUCUGAUCAGCUUGGGUAACCAUGACAUACUGCUAGGUGUUACUCAUGAUUUGUGGAAGCCCUAAACGUGUAUAAUCACUAAAGGGAGAAUUGAAAGUAAGUUUCAAUUUACAAUCGAUUUGAAAGAGUUCUAAUCGCUCACUGCCUCGCUAAAAGGAACCUAAUGGAUCGUACACCGUGUAAGGUAGAGAUUGAAAAAACAACGGAGAUAAGUAAGGACAAUUAAAUGGUUUAAUUGUUUAUGACAAGAAUUAAUUAAUAUGUUAAUUAAUCAAACGAAUAAGUUCGGGUUAAACCUUGAGUUAGUUUUGGGCAUUAAAGCCCAAAUUGGGCUUCGAAUCUUCAAACCCAUUAGCUUAAGUUGUAUGACAACUUAACAAACAAAAUUCAAGAAGCCCAAAACAGCCCAAAGGCUUGGGAAAACCAGCCAUAUAGAGAGGGGUAGUGAACUUGGCUUAAUUGCAAGUUUGCCAUUCCAUUGUGAGGUGGUAUAAAGGCAACUUUAUAGCCAUUUCAUCCUUAGGGUUUCUUUUGGAGAAAAGAUGAGAACACAAGCUCCCUUUUCUCUCUAAGAGGCUGGCCACCCUAGAGGAUUUUAGCUAGCAAUCUUACUUCCUCUAGGUCACUCAUCUCUUCUUCAAGUCAUUCCUUGGUGUGGAGACUUAGAGGUUCCUUUCAACCAUCUUCAUCCAAGAAAUCCAUGGAGCUAAGAAGCAAGGAAUGAAGGCCCUCGCCUUGGGUGAUUAGCCUUUGCUUAUGCAAAGAGGAAUCAACAAAGGUAUAAAAUUUCUCAACUCACUUUGUUCUUGAGUUGAGUCUUGGUUCACAUAACUACUAGGCUUUGAAUUUCAUGGGUAAUGUUUUGUUUUGAGUGCAUACAAGCAUGAUUCCGCCUUUAAUUGUUAAUUGCAUGCCAUAGAUGUUGCUCAAAUGAACAUGUUUCUCACAAAAUUUCCUUCAAUUUUGAAUUUUAUGGCUCAAAUAGUGAUGAUGAAUCUCUUUAUUCUCAAUAAGUCGAAAAUGCUAUUGCAUUAUUGGAUCAAACUCCGCAUUCAUUUCAAGUAAACCUAAGAAGUUGCCAUUAGAGUCUUCAUAAAGUCUUUCAUUUGUUCCACGAAAUGCUAAAUUACGUAUGGCAAGACAUUUCAUAACAUCAAUAAUUCUAAGCAUCACUUGUUUCCAAUGAUUUGGCUCUUUCUUGAUUUGCAUUUGAAAUUCUUUGUCAAUUGUCUGAUUUUUUGUCAAUCUACUUUUCAACUCAACCCAAGUUCUCGAAUUAAUGAGAUGCUCUUUACUCUUUUCAUAUUGGUCAAGCUUCUUACCAAGAUGUCUCCAAUCACUAGUUCCAUCUUUUGCUAACUCACUUUUUGAGGCAAUUAUUUUAAACAAUUUACAACAAAAGCAAAAGACUUUAUCCAACUCUUUUGAGUACACGAGCCAUUUCCUAUCGUAAAUUUUACCCGUUCGUAAUUUUCGAUCAUAGUAGUGUGAGGAAAAUUUUCUAGAGAAUUUGUCCUUAGGAUAAGUGAAUUAGUUUCUCAAAUUGGUCCUUUUUCUACAAGUAAGUCUCUCAUUUUUGCAUUAAGACCAUCCCAAACUAUUGGAUCAUAAAUGUCUAAAUGAAAAAUAGGUUCAAGAGAUUCAAUAUUUUCUUCUACACCAAAAUGAUCAUCAUCAACAUUUAAAUCCACAUCACCACCAUUUUCAUGAUCUUGAGACUCAUCACCAACAUUUUCCUCUAAAUCACCACAAUUUUCUUGGUCAUGAGACUCGUCAUUAACAUCUUUCUCCACAUAACCACAAAUUUCAUCAUCAUGAGACUCCCCAACAAUAUUUUGUGACUCUUCACCAACAUCAUUUUCUCUCAAAUUUUCAACCGACUCAUUCUUUAUAGAAUUUUUUUUAUUAAGAGAUCCUCUUAAACUUUAGGCAAUUUCGUUAUCCUUUGCCUUUUUUUUCCUUUUCAUAUUACUAGAGAGUUAUUUUCUAAAAGACAUGGCUUUGAUAAUUUGUUUGCAAAAAUUACCUACAUAUGAUAUAACAAAAAUUUCCUAUUAAAAUUAUCAUCAACAAUUCAAAAAUUACCUACACAUGAUAAUCAAGAAUUCAAUUCAUCAACAACAACAAUUCUAUACAUCAAUUAUCAUAUAAUUCUGUCACUUGCAAAAUUUAUAUUAAAUUAUGAAUUAAUAAUUCAAAUUAAAAAAUUAGUUUACCUCAAAACUCAAAAGGGUUGUUGAAUGCAAGGACUUGUGGGCCUGUGGCUGUCGGGUUUGGAAGCUGUAGCCUGCAGCAGCGCAACAAAUUAUCAGACGGUAAGGGCUAGGGCAGUGGGGUAACAAUGGGGUGGGGAAUCGGGAAAAAGGGGAACUUAGGGUUAAUUGGGGGGGGGGGGGGCGGGGACGAGUGGUCCCCUUGUGUUGUUAUUUUUUAUUUUUUUAAUGGCCAAAACCUGGGCUGGUCUUUUUUUUUUAAUUUUUUUAUUAUUUAUAAAUGCCCAAAACCUGGGCCGUUCCCUUCAUUUUCAAACUUGGGCCUCUUGCCCUCUAGUUCUUAUUUUGGGCUCUGGACAAAUUUUUUUUAUACCUAAUUAUUUGGACUUUUUUUUUGGUGCCCCUUUCAAUUUUGGGCCUUGGAAUGGCCCUGGUUGCACUGGGCCUGGGCCGGGCCUGCCCAUGUAUAUGUUAUCUUGUGAUUUGACAAGUCAUAUGUAUAUCAUAUCAAUUUUAUCUCAAUUGUGGUGAUGGUACAUAAUACUUACUACAUCGUAUGGCAACAAAUAAAUAUGGGCAUAAAGAUAAAUAGAAUGGUAUCAGUAAAUUAAGGUCUUCACAUUACGAUUAUAUUUAUCUCUAUUUUUAGUGGAAAGUUUUAAGGAUAAUUUUUUUUCUGCCUCCUACAUGGGUCUCGAUUCUCCUCUACGGUAAAAAUCCGUAUGUUUUAAAUAUUGAAAAGUUAAUUUAGCCCAAAUCCUUGCCUAUUUUAGGGAAAAUAAAAAAAAUUCAUUUUUAACCCUUUGAUUACUUAUAUCACCUAGUAUAACCUUUUUUUUUGUGUGAUACAAACAAAUAUUUUUGUUUGGGCCCAAAAUAUUAUUUUAGGCUGAGCUUAGGUCAUUCUCGGCCUAGUGGCAUUCAUUUAGAAUUUUGUUAUGGGCCGUCCAGUUAAGGUCAGCCGAAUCCUAUUAUGAAAAGGUUUGGUUUGGAUAAGGGUGAGUUGGUCGAUACUAGUGCAACAAGGAUUCUGAAGACUAAGGACAUUGAGAAUUAAAGGGUGAAUUUGGUUUGUUAAGAAGCUUGGUUCAAAGUCCUACAGGAAUUAGGAUUGGUUGAAACCUGAUCGGAUUGGGUUGAGGAGUUCUAAUCCUAGUCCAUUUCUAGUUCGGCUAUGAGGGGAUUCAUUAUUAUAAAUAGAGAAGGGAGUGCAUCAUUCAAAGCCCCUCCAAUUCAACACACAAAUUGCCUUGUGCAAAGCUUCUCAACAACCUUUGAGAUUUUAUCCACUUCCUCUUUCUUUUGCCAACACAUCUUCAGUUUGGAUAAAUAGCACUGUGAAGGCAACCGUCGACAUCUUCAGUUUGGAUAGACUGCACUAGAGCCGUAAAAUUAGCCGACCAAGGAGCACCUUUAGUUUGGAUGGACAACACUGCUUUGAGGCCGACUGGCUAUUUAUUCAAGUCUCGGCUGAGAAGGAUUUUCAAAUCCUUGUUGGUAGAGGUCAUCUCGUCAGCCUUCUCGGCAAAGUGAGGUGUUACAGGUUUCUGGGCUCGGCACAUUGAACGUUGAGUUUUGUUUUAUGAUUAGAUACUCACAAGUAAGUUUUAGAGUUUGGCAUUCCGAUGGCCGAAUCACAUUUACAAUCAAGAUAUAUAUUUCUUUCGAGUAUUUGUGUCUGUAUAGUUUGGUACCAGUUCGGCAUGCUUAUACUCUCACGAAUAUAAUCACUAUGAUCGAACCUGAUGCCGAUGAUUUGUGAACUUCAUAGAACUAGCAACCUUGUCUUCAGGCAUUAUAAUCCAAAGGCCGAGACAUGUUCCUUCAUCGAUCGCAGUCGUAAGAUCGAGAAGUCAGCAGCGCGCCCAACGAGACAUCAACACAUUCUAUUCCUCGACCGAGUUGGCACGCCCUGCACAUAACUGAAGGACGUAGUUAGCUUAUUAGUUACUCAGCCUAUGCGUCACGUAGGCUUCAUAGUUUUUAGUGUCAACAUUUUGGCAUGCCCAGUGGAACCCAGUGUUAAAGCUACGAAGUUCAUGACCAUUGAGACACGGUCAGUAAAAAAGAAACCAGUAAUGGGAAAGUUGACAACUAAUCUUCCAGUCUAAAACUCAUGACAAGAUGGGUUGUUAUAGACACAGAUUCAUGCUGCUGCCAUGACACCUGAAGCCACAAGUGCGACAUGCCGAGAAAAGGAAGUGAAUCUUGGCAAUCAGCCUUGUGGUGCAGAAAUCCCCACCAAAACGACAAAAGGCAUUUUUGUUGAAGGAAUAGUGGAUGAUUAUGACGAGGACGGUGGUAAGGCCUCUGAUCCACCAACCAGGUCGUUUUUUCGACGACGACUUGAAGAGUAAUCUUGACAACUUGAGCAGAUGUUCAGCCGAGAGAUAAAAAAACAUAUUUAAAGAAAUGCGUGAUAAUAUCGCUGUACAUAAUUUAUUGCUCGAAGUUCUGGUUAGUAAAGUCCAUGACAUUGGACCCACCAAUCGAUCCAGGCAUCAUUUUUUCAGGAAUAACCCACUACCAAUAGUACAGGUCGAGACAUAAUCCACUUGGCUCAAAAUGAUUAACUUACAGAAAAGUGGUGGGUUAAUCAGCAGAUCAAACGGAUUCGACCAGAGAGCGGAAACGACAUAUGUUGAUAUGGUUGAAGUUUAGAGAAUGAUUGAUUCGGCCUUGAAAAAUGGGCCAAAGUUUCCAAAAUUCAUUCACCCAUAUCCUGCCUUUGUAGAAAAGUUUGAGUACCCAAAGGGGUUCAAGAUCUCUGACUUCAGCCUUUUCGUUGAAGAGUCGUCCCUAUUGUCAUUAAACACGUGGCUCAAUUCACUGCUCAAUGUGGGGACGUUAACAGUGAUUUCCAUAAGCUACGAUUGUUCAAUUUCUCGUUAACCAGCUCAGCAUUCGCAUAUUAUAUCAACCUCUCACCCAACUCUAUCCAAAGUCAGGAGGAACUGGUCGAGAAAUUUCAUGAGCAAUUCUAUCGACUGGGGAUGGACGUAUUAGUAUCUUCUUGGGCUAGGAUGGCUCAAGCCUCUGAUGAGUCACCAAUGGAAUACUUUACAAGGUUUAAGUUGGCCAGAAAUUGGUGUCGAGUACCUCUUCCUGAAGUCGAGUAGGCUUGCCCUGAAUGGCUUAGACGUGGAGUACAAGAAGAAAUUCUUAAGGGCAUACUUUCGAGAUAUGUACGAAUUGGCUCAGCAUGUCGAGCAAUAUGAUUAUUUUCUCUGAGAGGAAAAGAUCUCGAAGUUUUCAUCCCGAGGAACGAUCUACAAGAACUUUACGGUUAGCUAUGCAUCGGCCAAAGGCGAGGAGUCCCAAUAUGCUAGUAUAGACGUGGCCAAGAUAUUAAUCGACAAACUGUACAUAUGUAAAACAUUGGCUCAUGCUACCUGUUCAGCCUUUGAGGAAGCUGCCGUCAAAACGUUAAAAGUCUAUACUUUCGACAUCACUAAGGCUGAUGCCAUCUUUGACCAGUUAUUGCUUGCAAAAAUUGUCAAGCUUCAGCCAGGGCAUAAUAUUCCAAAGGUCAAGGACUUAAAAGGAAAGACAUAUUACAAAUACCACAACUCGAACAAGCAUACGACAAACAACUGUGUCGUAUUUCGCGAUGCCAUUCGAAACUGGAUAGAUAACGGUAAGCUUAAAUUUCCUGAGAAACCAAUGGUCAUUGACACCAAUCCUUUCCCUAUGACAACGGUAAGCAUGGUAGAUGCUCACCUACACAAGGAUAAGAGAAAAGGAAAAGCCGAGUUCAUCCCAACGCAAUACGUCCCUAAGCAGAAUUCUCGAUCACAAUUGAAAGUCAAUCUAUCCUUGGGUGAGCCACCCAGAUACUUUUCAAACCCAACUAAUACCGAGUCAAUAUCAAACUCCAGCACGGGAGAAAGUGACAUGCCAAUGGUUUUAUGCAGUUGGUGUAAAUCAAACGUCAUCAUAACUAAGCUGAAGGAAAAGCCACUUCGGACUGAAGCACCACUAACGCCUGUAGUUGUAGCAACACCUCAAAAAGUGCUUGGUACAGACCAACACCAUAAAGUUUUUGAUAGGCUCAGCCCUCAAACACGGAAUGACGGCCCGUCUUCGGCCCGAUAAUGACUUAAUUUCGACGUUUCGUUUUAUAAUGAAGAGUAUUAUGUGUGCAACUCCAGCAACUCGAGUUCAUCCGCGAACCAAAGAAACUUCAAGUCACCUGAGCCAUGCGACUAGUGUUGGUAUACCUACAAUUCCCUACCGAUGUAUAUAUUGCAUUGUCCAAAUCGUAGAAACAUCAGCGCCAAAUAAUGGACUAUAUGGCUCGCCAAUGAGCAGCCCAGACUACCUCGGUCACCAAGUGGCAACUGAAAGAAACGGUAGAUAACGAAGAUGAUUGACAACCUUCGGCCAUCAUGGUUGAGUUGCUUCAAGGAAAGAAAGUGAUCGAUCGUGACUUUGAAACCAUGAUUGAAGAAUCUGAAAAGUGAAUCAAACUCUUUCUUCGGCCUAGGGAGAUGAAAGCUUGCCUCGAGCACUUUCGGAAAGAAGUUGAAAACAAACUUCCUUUACUACCCUCGCAAGAGCCAUUAAUUAAAGUUCGAAGGAAUCUUCACCCGCCAUUUCUUAACAAAGCUUUAGAAUACAUGCAAGAGUUCCAUAUAAAAACAUUCAGCUAAUGGUUAAUAUUGCAUGCCAAAAGCAUGCCAAGAGGCUCUUGAUCUAGUAUUAACUUGCCCCGAUGCCGAACAAAUCAUCCAAAAGACCAUGGAUCAGAGGAUGAAGGCUAGAAUCCAGCAUAUACUCGAGGCUUGAGUUCUCUACUUUGAGGUAGACCCAUAUACUGAUAUCGAUCCAACCGACCUUCCUUUCUCCCUUAAGGACCUCCAAUAUUUACUGUAUCAUUUUGAAAUUUUCUCGGCAGUUGCCCUCUUUAAUCUUACGACUGAUGAGAAAGAACGUAUGGCGUGAUUAGAUGCUUACUUAGACACAAGAGACGCCCGCAUCGUAUAUCAGGAGCGGACUCACAAGGCUUCACAAGAGCAACACCAAGUCCCCACGUUGAGCGAGCCUAAAGUUGAUGGUCAGAACGAAAUGGGUUUGGUGGAUGCACUGUAGGGACGGGUUCUCUUAGCUGCCGGAGAGGAUCAGCCAGAUAAUGCCCAUAAGCAAAAUACUUCGCCUGAAAAUCUAGAAGACAAAGAUCACGACCCAAUGGGUUCUUCGGUCCUUGAUAACACGGAAAUCAACAUGGUCCAUGUCUUACCUGCCGAGUUCUAGCUAAUUACAUCUCAACCAAACUUUAUGGACGACGUCAAAGUCGCCGAGGAAGCCGCACAAGUCGAUUUUUUGGCCACCGAAGAGAUCGAGCAAGUAAGCAAAGAAGAUAAACUUAAGGCAGCUCUUGCCAAUUUGUUCCCCCGCUAUUCGUCAGUUAAUUUUCAUCAUUUAAAGCCAUUGUAUGUUAUAGCUCGUAUUGAAGGAUAUCUGGUUUCUAAAAUUUUUGUCGACUACGAAGCAACGGUCAACAUCAUGCCCGUUUCUAUCAUGAAGGCAUUACGUCGCUUUAGCAACGAACUCAUUCCAUUAGGGGUAACCAUGAGCAGCUUUGUCGAUGACAAGUCCUAAACCAAAGGAGUGCUUCUUUUAGAGGUAAAUAUCGCAUGUCGCAAUCACAUGACCGAGUUUCUCAUAGUUGAUUUAAAGACUGAGUAUAAUUCCUUGCUUGGUUGUGAUUGGAUCCACCAAACAAGCUGUAUCCCUUCGUCAUUAUAUCAAGUCUCAUCUUUUGGGAUGACAAAUCAGUCGUGGUUCAUCCAGCCAACAAUCAGUUGUUUGAAGCUAAUAUAAUUUAGGCUCGUUAUUACAAUGAUCACAUCGGCUACAUCACCAUAUAAGGUUUUAAAGGGGAAGGACGGCCAACUUGAAUCUUAAUUUAGAAAGCCAUUGAGGUUGGAAAACAUUGUGACAAGAUUCGGCGUACCAAAAAUAAUUAUAACAGAUAACGGCAUAAUUUUUACAGCCGACAAGUUUAAAGAAUACGCAGCGAGUCUAAAAAUUCAGCUCAAUUAGUCCACGCCAUAUUACCCAUAAUCAAAUGGACAGAUCGGAGCAAGUAAUAAAGUUUUAAUCGGUAUACUUGACAAAAUGAUAAAAGAAAAGCCUGGUAUGUGGCAUUUGAAGUUAAACGAGGCAUUAUGGGCAUAUCGAACUUCACUCUGAUCAGCAACAGGGAUGACCCCAUAUGCGUUGACUUAUGGGCACGACGCGAUGCUACCGGUCGAGCUAAGCAUAAACUCGUUAUGAGUUAUCGAACAAAGUAGUUUAUUCAGUGCCGAGUACAGUCAGGCCAUGAGGUAAGAGUUGGAGGACUUGGAGGAAGCUCGGCUCGAUGCCUAUAACUUACUGGUGGUGCAUAAAAAGAUUACCGAACGAGCUUAUAAUCGAUGAGUUAGGCAAAAGACGUUCGGUGAAGGUGAAUUAGUAUGGCAAACCAUGUUACCAGUAGGGAUUAAAGACCUUAGAUUUGGGAAAUGGUUGCUGAAUUGGGAAGGACCAUUCGUCAUCCACAAGGUUCUUGGCAAGGGGGAAUACCACUUGAAAAAGUAUUAUUCGAUUACUUGGGAAAUGCAAGAAUAAAGAAUUUAUUUCAUUGAUUUUCAAAGGACAUUUACAAGCAAAAUUACAAAGAGUCGAUCGGCCUACAACUACAACUAAAGACAAAAGUCCUAAAGAGUCGAAGGAAGAAAAGCUUCAAAAGUGGCUUUCAGUUCUAGCCAUCUUACUUCGCCCAUCGUGACCUCAGCCUGUCUUGUUCUUUUGUCAAGUUGUAGUUGAUGUAUCUGCUUCGAGCUAGCUGCAUACUCUGCCAGUCGAGGUUUAUUCGAAUUGAAAUCUAUUUCAAGCUCGGAAGCAACGGCUGACCUUUGACGUGGAAGUUUAGUGAUUUGGCGGUCAAGAUCGGCCAGCCGCUCACUCUUUGCUUUUAUGGCCUCGAGCUCUGGUCGGAUAGCUUCAUGAACGACCAUUGAAGCCUUGAGGUCAUCUUCUGCCUAAAGAGCCCCAUCAAAAAUAGCGAAGUAUUGUCGGGUUCGUUUUAGGAUAUAAGAUAGGUGAACGACAUUCUCAUUGCUUAGAAUGCCAUCGUUUACAAGGUCGUUCAUACAUUCUUCUAUAGAAUCGAGGCCUUUGUAUUCAAGGAUUUGCAUGGCUGAGAUAGACAAAAGCUCAUGCAGCUUGGCGAAGACACUGGACACGGCCGCGAUUGCAAAAGACUAGAUCGCGGUUGUUGAAGGCCUAGUCACCCCAGAAGUGUUUGAGAGGAGGGUGUCAAGCUUGACUUUCCAUGAAGGCUGCAUAAAAAGAGUUGUUAGAAAAGAGAAGUUAAAAGGACGGUAGAUAAGGACGUUGUGUUAGACCUACCGAGAAAAGACUUCGGCCAUGUCUGUUGGUUCGUUACUCGAACCGAGAGAGCUUAAUGGCCGAGCCUAGUGUUUAAGGCAACCUUUUAAUUCAUGUGGCCGAUAAAGGUUAUCUAUGUUUGAUGGCUAUUGGGAUGGCCAAGAAAUAUAAAUAACGCCAUUUGGCGCAUAGAAUUUUUGGAGAAAUGAGUAAUUAGGCACCUGGCAGUUAAUAUUUUCUUGGUUUAGAAUUCUAAAGCAAAAAAUUAAUAAAAGAAAAUGAUGACGAGUCUUACAAAGGUCGAAGUAACCUCCUGAAGAGGAAUGUCGAAAUUCUGGUCUUGAGGAUGAACCAACGUCUUUACCAUUGCUUCUGCCUCGACAGGAGGCACCGCUUCAUGUCCUGCACCUAUUUCAGUUGCAAAAGUGUCGACCUGGCCAGCCAUCUCAACUAUCGGUUGAGGAUUGGUGGUUGGUAGUUCAGCUGGUUGAGAGCGCCUCACCAACGGGGGUACUUCAUUCUCGUCAUCCUAUACAUAAAAGAGGAUUGGUCGUUAGUUGAGAGAUAUAGUCAAAAUAAAAGGAGAACAUUAGUAAAAAUGGUCAUACCUAUUCUUCCACAAUGAUUAUUGGAGUCUUCUUUAGAUUUGGCGGAGGGUUUCUCUCGGCUGUGGUGGCCUCAUUCUCCAAAGCAGUAGCUGCCACGCUAACACCAAGAAUAACGGCCGGCCUCGGGGUUGGAAAACCCUUGACUAAUGGGUUGAUGAUGGGUUCAACAACAGCCAGCAUAAUGGGUUGGAUCUUAGUUGAUUGAUCUGUCAGAGGAUUUUGCGGUACUCCAAUCGAGGCCUGGACGACAUGAGAAUGGAGAAGGGCACUAGGAGUGGUUGUUCCCGUGGUUUGACUCGAAAUGACAUAUAUCUCCCGUUCUUCAUUCUUUUCCUUUUUCUUGAGGCACUUUUGGGACCGGGCAAUGUUGCCAGUCGUCUCGACCUUUGGGCGAGGCCGUUUGCUCGGUGCGGUCGGUGCAAUAGGGGCUGCUGCAGAAGUUGGUUUGACUGAAGGAUGAGCGAGUUUCUUUUUAGUCGCGACCAUCGUAACCACAUUGACUCGUUUUAUGGCACGACCACUUGGAAAAACUGAGUUUAAGUCAGAACGAUGUUCAAAUUGAAUAAACAAACAAGGGAAGUAAAAGAUAUAUACCUUUAGUUGUUUCUUUGGAUUUUGGGACGAGUCUUCCUCGGUCGGUCGUCGAAAAGCUUCUUUGAAAUUUCCUCGACUGAAGUACUGAAGAAGUCCUUGACGUAAGCAUCUCACCAAUCGGCGAAGAUGCUAAUGCAAUGGGUUUUUGGGGUAAUCAGCCGAAGAUAGAAAUUGGUGCAUCGCUCUAAGAAUUCCCUCUCGGAUUCAUCACAUUCCCUUUAUGAGGAGCUGAAGAGGCGUUCUCGGCUCAAGGGUGAGCGGGAAGUGAGGAGUGGCAUAGGAUAGGCCUGGACAUAGCUCAGUGGAUAGGCCAUGAAGUCAGGAUGGCAAAUCUCCUAGCUGGCCCAUCGAGCAUCACAACCAAAUGGAAUGUCACGAGCUAGAACAAAUGAUCCAUAUGAUUGUCGGAGAUCAGCGUCUUCUGCUUCUUCCCACACCAAUGUAGGGAGCCUGAUGGAAGACAAAUAUUUCUGGCGGUGGCAGACCAGAAACUCGUCGUUCAACAAGUCUUCAAGGUCGAAGAAGUACUUGAAGACAUCUUCGGCCAAUGGGCAGGAGUAGGGUGUGAGGACAGUUGAAGGCUCAUUGCUUUGGAAGAAUUGAAGUGUAGGAUUUUUGGCCUCAAUGUGUAGAAGUAAACCUGCAACCAUAGUUGAAAGACUCAAAGUGGGCCGUUCUGGUGUGGGUUGAUUUUCCCGACGGAAACCUCAGCCAAGCAUCGAGAAAGGUUGGCAAUGAUGGUCGAGCUGAAGGGCAGGACGUGGCCACUAGCUAGCGCUUCAGCCACUAGCACAUUCUUGGCCAGGCACUUGUACGACUUGGUACAAAAGAUGAACUUAUUGUACUACUAGAACGAGAAGGUCUCGUGUUCCCCCUUCUUGAGAGCUUCCCCCUCCGAGCCAGCGAAGUGGGUGAUCAGGGUGCUAUAAUUGAAGAAGUUCUUGUGCAGCUUAUAUACAUCUUUUUUUCAACGGCUCCUGACCAUCCUUCAUCAAAGCUUCGACGACAUGUUCGUCAAAGACCGCCUUUAGAUCUAGGUCGAAUUGAUAUCGAAAAAGGGUGGUAUCAACUGAAAGACCAGAAAGGGGAGUGCCAAGUAUAGCCGUGACAUCCAGCAUUGUUGGGCCAAUGGGGCCAAGAGGAAGGACCAUAAUGUUGGUGGCCAAACACUAGAAACUCAGGGUGGCCAUUAGGAGUUCUCGAUCCAUGUUGAUCUCAAUGGUUGAUAGCUUAAUGGCAUCAAAGUUACUGAGAAUCUUCCAAUCGCCCCUGAAGUGUGGCUCCAUCCGGGUAGGGGUGGGUACUUGGAAUCAAAAAUCAAAACCGAAACACGAAUCGAAUCAGACCGCACCGAACAGUUUGGUUUUGUGAUUUUGAAACGGUUACGGUUUCAAAACCAAACCGCAGCAAAGAAAACGAUUUGGUUUCGGUUUUGGGGUUUCAAAACCGCACCGAAACCAAAACCGAAAUCGAAACCGCACCAUAUAUUGAAUAUUGAAUGUUAUGUUUUAAUCUAUUGUUUUGUGCAGCUCCAAUCUGAGUUUUUCAUGGCAGUAGGGCUCCCAGGCUCACAUUGCUCUCAUAAUCACUUUGCUUGUUAUGUGUAGCCCCAUUGCAGUAAAUUUUAAUACCGCGGGGCUCCUAUACAAUCUGUGAUACAAACCAACAUGAUAUUCUUAAAUUAGUAAUAAAAUUGACAACGAAUUUUUCUUACUUUGAUGAGAUAUGUAUGAAAUAUUCUGGGAAAAAAUGUACAUGCUAACUCUUGGAUAAUAACUACAAUGAGCGAUGGAAAAUACAUCCAUUUGUAUGCCAUUUAUUACCAAGGAAGUUGCAGAUAAUCGAGGCUAACAUUCUCAAGAGAAUGCUAAGUUGGUAACACAACAGGAAGUAGGUGGGAAAGAAAUACUUACCAGCUAGAGUAAGUCCCUAGGUGGACAAGGCAUAGAAUAAAUUGUACAUUUUUUUUCUCAAAAACCAAACCAAAACCGUUUGAAACCACACCGAACUGAACCAAACGGUUUGGUUUCAUUUUGGUUUUGGCUUCAAAACCGCACCGAACUGCACCGCAAAGAGUUUCGGUUUCGGUUGCGGUUUCACUUGAAACCGCACCGAACCGUACCGUGCCCACCCUUACAUCCGAGUGACCCAAGCAGCCCAGACCGUGAGGGUUGAUGGCCAACUCCCUAGGGUUUGGUCAAUUCCCACUUCGACCAAUCGUAUCCUUGAAAUAGGGGUUCAAGGCAAUGCGUCUUCAACAUCUUGGUGAUUGAUUCUGGGAUGUUUUCCUUGAAAAGUGGUCCCAGAGUUUGGUGGAAAACACUUGAAUCAUCCUCACACCGGAGGGAUUCGAUGGCAUUCUGGUUAAUAAAGUCUCAACAGUUGUCGCAUUCCUCGGCGAGCUUGGUGAUAUGUUAGAGGUUUAUUUUGCUUCUUCAAGGUUGACGCUCAGCUUAGAUUUGUAGGCCGAAUACCUUAGAAGCGAGGGGGCAAUGUUUGGGCCCAAAAUAUUAUUUUGGGCCGAGCUUAGGUCAUUCUCGGCCUAAUGGCAUUCAUUUAGAAUCUUGUUAUGGGCCAUCUAGUUAAGGUCAGCCGAAUCCUAUUACGAAAAGGUUUGGUUUGGAUAAGGGUGAGUUGGUUGAAUCCUAGUGCAACAAAGAUUCUUAAAGCUAAGGACACUGAGAAUUAGGGGGUGAAUCUGGUUUGUUAAGAAGCUUGGUUCAAAGCCUACAGGAAUUAAGAUUGGUUGAAACUUGAUCGGAUUGGGUUGAGGAGUUCUAAUCCUAGUCCAUUUCUAGUUUGGCCAUGAGAGGAUUCGCUAUUAUAAAUAGAGGAGAUAGUGCAUCAUUCAAAGCUCCUCCAAUUCAACACACAAAUUGCCUUGUGCAAAGCUUCUCAACAACCUUUGAGAUUUUAUCCCCUUCCCCUUUCUUUUACCAACACAUCUUCAGUUUGGAUAAACAGUACUGUGAAGGCAACCGAUGACAUCUUCAGUUUGGAUAGACAACACUGUAGCCGUAUAAUUAGCCGACCGAGGAGCACUUUCAGUUUGGAUAGACAACACUGCUUCGAAGCCGACUGGUAAUUUAUCCAAGUCUCGGCUGAUAAGGAUUUUCGAAACCUUGUUAGCAGAGGUCAUCUCAUUAGCCUUCUCGGCGAAGUAAGGUGUUACAUGUUUCUAGGCUUGGCACAUUGAACGUCGAGUUUUGUUUUAUGAUUGGAUACUCGUAAGUAAGUUUCAGAGUUCAGCAUUCCGAUAGCCGAACCACAUUUAAAAUCAAGACAUAUAUUUCUUUCGAGUGGGCAUGCCCCACGCAUAACUAAAGGACGUAGUUAGCUUAUUAGUUACUCGGCCUGCGCGCCACGUAAACUUGAUAGUUUUUAGGGUCAACAACUUUCAUUUUUUCAUUCCCAACCUACCCUGAAUUUAAAAAUGGAUAGAAACAUAAUUUUUAGGCCAACUUUUACUUAAUUUGUUGCUCUUUGCUUUGCCACUUUUAUGCCAAGUUCUUCUUCUUCUUUUUUGUCGAUAUGCUAAGUUCUUCUUCUUCAUCUUCGUCACUUUUUAUUCUUCCAUUUGUUCGUGUUAUACUUCUAUCUUAUAUGUUGGAAUAAAUUAUGUUGAAACUAAAUUCACGCAGUGCCAUAGAAGGUAAAGACACACAAAUUCGAGUAAUCUGUAAAAGAACAAACAACCAUGAGCUAACAAAAAACUAGGGGUGUGCCAGUCAAAGGCUCUCCGAUGGUCAAGUUAGUAAGCAAUAUAAAAUUAAAGAAGUAGACAAGAAAGUAAGUAUGCGAUAAUUGUGUUACCAGAGAAAAUCCUAGAAUGAUGUAUUUAUACUAGUUGAGGAUGGGAUGUUUUAGAAUAGUAGAAUUUGUAUUAAAUCGGGAGAAUCCUAGAGGAUAUCUAGAGAUAGAUAUUGCAUCCUCUUAGGAGUGUGAUUACUUACCGCACACGUCAAUCUUUUGAUUGUAAGGACUCCAAGAUUAAUUAUAAGAAACUUGCUGAUUUCUUGCUGGAUUUUGUUUCCAUAUCUUAUGGAAAAAGGUUAGUCUCAUCGAAAUCAUCAGACUUCACCCACUGAUUUCGGAACAGGAUGAUGGUGGCAUCGCUGCUUCGUAUGUUUAGCUCCGCAUCGGAAGCUGUAGAGUCCAUGACCAAAUAUUCGUAUUCCGAUCCACCUUACUCUGGCCCUGAAAAGUCAUAGUCCAACAAUUUAUAUUGAAAUUUGUCAUGGUGAUAACUUAACUACAUGUAAUACAUAUUCCUUUCGCUUGUACAUGUCUUAAAAUUUGCCAAAUGCUUAUAUGUCUUUGCCUUUCCUUUUGUAUAAUUGGUUGGGUAUUUUUAAUUGUAGGAAGAUAGUAAUAUUUUCAUACGUAUAAUUGUUUCAUAUCUCUUUUAUAGGUAAAUGAAGAUGUUAAUUAAUCAAAUAUUUUUCGUAUAUAUAGAAUUGUAUUAUAUAUUGUUUCUCCCCAAAAAAAAAGUGCUUUAGAUAUCAUUAUCAUAGGUAAGUAACCGUAUAUAAUUAGAAAUUUAAAUCUAUAUUUAUUAUCAAAGUCAAAAUAGUCAUACAACUAAAAAAUAAAUGCACAAAUUGGGUUAAAGUUGACCACACACACACAUACACACGCGCGCGCACACACACAUAUAUAAUAUGUUUGUGUGUUUGUUUGUUUUCUAUAUGUAGAGCUUAAUUAAUUAGGUUUGCAUGGUAUACAUAGUAUCCAAGCUAUGUAGCUAUCUUAUUUUUUUUUUUAUAAAAGUUAGCCUGCAUGAUUUCUAAUCCAUCAAUGUUUCUUUGUAGUUGGAGGUGUUCUAUUUCAUGCAUGCAAUAGUAGGAGCUGUCGCUUGGUAAAAUUAACAAGGGGUUUUUGAACUUUAAUUCUUGAAGAAGAUUAAAAUUUAAUAAAAAUUUAGUGUUAUAUUGAAUAUUGAUUUUAGUCUAUUAAUAUGUAUUUAAUUCAAAUUCAUAUUAUAUUUUUGUUUUUAUAUUUAACAGAUAACUUAUUUAAUGUUAUUACAUUAAAUUUUAUUUAACUUUCUCUAAUUAGUGUACCUAAACGUCUGUAUCAUAAUAUACUUUACUAAAUUAAUGUACCAAAAUGCCCGUACCAAAAUAUAUUGUAGUGAAUUAGUGACACAUAAGAAAAUAUGUAAAAACAUAAGUGUACAGAAAAUUCCGUACCUAACUAUAUGAUACUAAACUAGUGUACCAAAAUGUCGGUACCUAAAUAUAUUAUACUAAACUAGUGUACCGAAAUGUUCGCACCUAAAUAUAUUGUAAUGAAUUAGUGGCAGAUAAGAAAAUAUGCAAAACAUAAGUGUAAUGAAAAAUCUCUAUGAAAAAUAUUUUCUUAUAUAAGAUGCUUACCAUUAGAUGAUUCCACUAAAUGAUGCCUAUAUAUCCUCGAAUCUUACUUUUCCACUCCACUACAAACUUUCAUUGUCAAAACAAAAAAAAAAAACUCCCAACUUUUUAUACGCACUUAUUUCAAAAUUUUGCCUCUCUUUUGAAUCUUUUAUCAUGGCUUUUUCAAGCAAGAAGUCUAAACCAAUUAAGCUUUCCCCCUAUAAUCUUCCUUUGACAAGAGUUCGUAAUCGAGAAGAAGGUGAGUCUUUCAUUAAAGAGCACCAUGACAUUUUGGACGACUGUAACGUCUGGUGGGAACCUGGUCAUGAUAUCUAUGCUAAUCUGCACCGUUGUUUAGUCCUUGCUGUCUUUGUACUAGAAUCUACCCUUGGUUCUUGGACUUUGGUCUUCGUUUCCCUCUUUCUGCUUUUAUGAAAGCCAUUUUGUUAUGCUAUGAUAUAGCCAUCUGAAACCUCUCUUUUACCGCCUUCAAGCUUUUCACUUGCUUCGAGUUGUUGAAUUAGUGGUUCGGGGCUAAGUUGGAUAUCCCAGAGUUUAAAUGUUGCAUAGCUUCAAACCGAGUUUGGAUGACCAUUAUUAUUUUGCUGCUAUAACUAGUUUGGAUUAGGAGACAUACAUCAAGACACCCCUAAUCACCACAAGGAUUGGUUCAAAGACAUACUAAUUGUUAACGGAGCUUAGGAGGGAGAUAUUAGCGGACUCCAGAUCCGGAUUGAUCCUCCGACCGUUUAUCGCAAUUGGAAAUGGUUGUUCUCUACUGAGCACUUGAACAACCGUAAGAAGAUAUAGACGCAUUUCAUUGUUCAGGAUUCCCUAUAAAGAAGCUAGAGUAGGUUGAUGCUCGUAAUGAUCAUAGAAAAACUCGUUCCUUUAAAACAGCAUAGACUUUGUCACCUGUCCUAAAGAAGCGGAAACAUCCUAACAAUUCUUCUUCUUACUCAUUGGUUGUGACUCCUCAGCCACAACUGCUGAUUAAGGACAUCCAUUAUAAACCCCUCUUCGAAUAAGCACGUUGCUGUUCUGGCGCCACCAACUUUUAUUGUAUUUGCCUCUAUAUCCAUAGCAAAUAAGCCGCUUACUUCACCUCUUAUCCAUUUACCUGCGGUGUUGCCCCAAUUGUCGAAGUCAGAACCUAUUGUCCUCAUUUGGUUCUUCCACCAAGUUUUAUGUUCGUGCCAUACGAAAUUGAUGUGCCUUCCAUUUCCUCAACGUCCACUUUCGUCCAUCCGCUGCAAGUGCCUAUAUAUGAACCUUCCUGCCAUAAUGGUCCUCCAUUGAUUUCCCCAUCGAGGUCCAAGGGAACAUCUCGUCCUCCCUUUAUGAUCAAACCUUUGGCUGAUCGAGUUGCUUUUGCUUCUGAUGUCAGUGGUCUUCAAAACACAUAUGAUGCUCGGGUGCUGCAUGGGGCUACGAUUGCCACUACCGAUUUCAAGGGAGCCUACACUUCUCUUAAAUGUGACAUAAUGCAGUACUAUAGGAGUCAUUAUGAGAUACCCGAAUUUCUCUCCUCCAUUUCUUUUUGUUGAUAUGUUUCCCUCGUAUUAGGUUAAUGUGUGGACGAAUCUAGGAACUUAAACGGAUUACAGAUAUAGGCAAAACGAUGAUUGCUAUCCCAAUCAUAAGAACUUAAGAACUCGUAUACCAUGUAGCAAGCCUCGAAUACCACUCAUGAUGUAGAGAUAAUUCGGGAGAUUGAUCUAGCUACUGUUAUAGAGGUAAAGGCCAAAGAUUACAAGGAAAGUUUUGAGAAGGUUAGAGACGAGCUGAGGUUAGAGAAGCAAGCCAAGACGAAGGUGGACUAGGCUCUUGUUGUCUUAAAAGGAGAGUCGGAGCGUGUGUUAGCUUUAAAACAAAAUGUUUGGGCUAAAGAGCAGGAAGCUCUUCAAAAAAAGAGGUCGAGCAUCUAUGCUAAGAGGUCGAUCACAACGAUAACAAGCCCAUCGCGUACCUUUAGCAGCUUACUAACAGGUAUUCCUCUUAGACGUAUGUAUUCCAGGAAGAUCAUAAGAGGUUACUUGAAGAGGAGUUUGACGUCAGAUUCCUUACCGAUUACGCCCAACAAGAUCACCCUAAAGGUUGGAGCGUCUUCAGAAUUUAUGAGUAGAUCAAACACAUGGACUUUCCUCCUCCGCAUCAUUUGUUAGAUGAGAUGUCAGAUUUAGAGGCGGAGCAAAAUGAAUGUGAUCUUAAAGGUAAUCCGACACCUGAUGCCCUUGGUGAAUCUUCUACUCCAUUCAAGGGAAACGAUGUCCUGAAAAAGGAUUAAUUUGCACUUGCUCCUGGGUAGGAAAGGAGACUGUCCCUUUUGCAAACUUUUUGUCGUAAUACAAAGCUUUUUCUUUCAUUUCUUUCUCUACUCGGGGAAGAAAUCUUAAUCCUAUAAAUUUCUCUAAAGUAAACGAACUUUAUUUGAGAAAUAAGUGGCGGAGCGGGUACGAGUAAGUUUGUAGGUUCGGGACAAAGCUCAUCAACUCCCCUUGGAAACAUUGAUUCAGGGGAAUGUUGCCUCCUAAGAUUUGUAUUCAUAAAGUAUUCUCAUCAUGAUAUCUAGAAUACCACCUUAUUAUGGUAUUAGGAAUUAGACAUUAAACCCAUGAGAAAACUCUUGCUCUUACACUUAUUAAAAUACAUUCAUCAGGUAUAAGAGGUCCAAAUCAUGCCUGAUAACAUCUUAGAAGUAGAGGUCGAUUACCUCAAAACUUGCAAUGUGGUGCCAGAAUGAGUUUUCCCUGGUCCGAAUUGCGUGUUCAUUUCUAGUGAAUCUUACGCAAAAGUUCUUUGGAUACAUGGUCAUCAACAUGUGAGUCAAAAAUGCUUUUAGAAUCCUUUUGUUAGACCCUAUGUGUCGGACUUGAGCGUUUAUAAUCGGACUACUUUGGUUGGCUUGACCAAAGCAUUUUCGCUUACUGAAGCUCCAUUGGAAUAAAAUUCCUCUUUGGGAUUGCCUAGUUUGAAUGCCCUCUUCGAACCUGCUAACACUUGGUGUUGUAGAGCUUACUUGACUUAGUAAAUUAGUCUGGGAUAGAAGUAGUCGUACUCGGGGUCAGAUUUUAGAGCCACCCUCAGAUAAGUUCCAGAUCGCCCUUUUGACUAUUCCCUCGAAUGUGUAGAGCCCAGGUUUGGAAUGUUAUAACCCACAACCUUGCUGGUUACAUAAACUUUCUAGAGACUGGAUGGUGCAUUGGACUUCCAGGUCAAGGCGCAAUGUUCCUGUACCCAUAGCCCACCAGUCGUUACAACACUUAUUACUGUUCGAGUCUAACAAGCUGCUAGCCGUUCCAGACGGAUAAGGCUAAAGAAGGCUCUUAUGAUAGUGUAAUUUUGAAUGUUUUUAGACUUGUAUUCGUGUAAAGUUUUCAAAGUUUGGGGCCUAUUUUUUAACGAGUGGGGUACUCCCUACAUCAUCGAAAAAAUAAAGAAAAGAAUACGUAUUUAAGACAAACAGAUGCUCGUUAUUCAUGAUCGAAGUAAAAUUGAUUGACAAGAGGGUGUGAUUGAAUCUGAGAAGGAUUGCCUACAUAUUUAUGAGAUGGAGAAUCAAAUUACUGAUAUAGUUCUAAAGAAAAUAUGAUAUAUGUAAAAAUUUACAUGAAAGAUCACUUUUGACGAUAAGCCUAUAGGGAGGCGUUGGGGGAUGAUUUCUCAAUGGACUUAUCUUCACACAGAUGGGGGCGUUACCGAACUGCCUACAUAUCUCAGGAAGGGAAUCAAACCGUGUGUAUUUCAUGUGAGAUUUACUUUGUUUUAGGUCACUUGGAGAGGCUUGCAAGGGUUUUAAUUUUCUUUCUUCAACAAGGAUUUCAUCCAUCGGCACAAGUCCUCUGGUUUCUAUGUCAUUGAACCUUUUGCUGCUUGGCAUCAAUUCGGAGUAGUGAGGUGGGAUUCUAUCUUUAAAGGGGACUUUUGCCAUGGCGUAUAACCAUUCUCGGCCAAAGAAAGCGUUGUAUAGAGACAAAUUAUCCAUCACUUGGAAAGUCAUCAGAUGUUCAGAUGGUUUUGCUUGAACCAUGAAAUGUAUUGUCCCUAUGGUGUUAAGCGGGGUUCCAUUAAGGGUUUGGACAUUGGAUCUUCAUGAGUUGACUUCAUCUAGGAUGUUAAUUGAUAGGGAUUUUUACCAUCUACAAAAGUAGAGAUAAAAACACUUAAAAAUACUUGCAAGAGUACAAGGUUGUCGUAGUAUAGUGGUUUAGGCAAGGUCGUUUUCCACCGAGAUUGAAUGAAUAAUUUGUGUUUAAAACCAACACUUAAUUAAUUAUUUAAAACAAAGUUUGGAAAAUGUUGAUUUUAGAAUUUAAUAUAAUAAAAACGAAUUUUAAAAUAAAACAAUUAAAGAAAUUAACUAGAGAACAAUUUAAAGAAAAACAAUUUGUAAAAGCCUAGGGUUCCGCCGUCCCCUUAACAAUCCUACGCAAUUUUACUAAUUACUUAUGAAUUUCCACAUAUAUACUUUGAAGGUUAGGUUUUCCUAAUGCAUAUUUUCCUUGUGUGUUUAAGCGAAAACGUAUAUCUAACAUGCAACCCGUCUGUGAUGUUCAGAUCAAAUAUAAACAUGCAAGACUCAUUAAGCUUUAUGAAAACCCUUUGAAAAACCAUGCAACCCUUAAGAGCGUGAUAUUCACCUUAAGUGAACUUACAAUUACUAAUCACAAGAAGCCCUCCUCAAUUUCAGGGUGAUGUUCCAACAGAAAUUGCAUCAAAUUACUUGUCUAAAAACCCUAAUGGUUGCGAAUCACUAAGACAAUUAGAUAGUUUGAUCGCAGUGAUUAAUAAUUCAAAGUAAGCAUGCAUCCAUUCAUAAGCAAAUUAAUAAAAUCACAUAUUCAUGCUAAGGCUUGUGGCAUCGCCCUAGCAAAAGAACUUAGUUACGAACAAUCAUGAAACAAAAUAUUAUUGAGAAUAAGGAUAGAAAACGCCUAGAAAAUAAACUUGAAAAACUCUCUAAAGUGUGCGUGCGUUCUCUCCUCUCCUUCCCUUCUAACCCUAAUGGCUAAAAGGUCUUAUUUAUACUACUACAAAAUAAAACCUAAAAAGUCUUAGAAUAAAACUAGGAAACAUAAUAAAAUAAUAAAACAUAAAAUAAAAGGUUUCCUAUUUGAACUAAAAUUCGGAUUUCUUAGAAAAUCAGACUUUUGACCGACCAAAUUAACUCUGAUUUGUCCCAAAAAGUCUCUUUUGAAAGAUGGAGACGUCCCCUACAAAUCCUCAGAAGAAAUCUUCCUCAAAAUAUUCCAUCUUGACCUUCAAAAUGCCCAAAACGUCCAGAAAGGUCAGUCUGGAAAAGCUGCGCGCUGGGCCUUUAUUUCAUAACCACGGUCAAACGGCUUAGUAGAAAAAUAUAGAAUUUUGACACAAUCAUCUUGAAAGACUCACGAACAUCCUCCAAUUAGAAUUACUCUAAAAUUAAUCUGUUUGAUCACUUUUUUGCUCCAGAGGAAAUUGAAUGUCCAACUUUAGAAAUAUAGUUCAAAGUAUCAAAAUUCUACCAAAAUAACUAGGGUAAAUUACAUAGUAGCCCCUCAGGUUUGAGGUCUAUUACAACCCCAUACAACAACUUUAAAACAUUUCACUUUCAUACAUCCAUUGCCAUUUUAUUUCAAAAUAACACCUCUGUUAGAUUUUCCAUCUAUUAGUCUGUUAAAUGCUGACGUGGCUACCACAUUUAUGCUGAUGUGGCUGCCACGUGGAAAAAAUAUUUUUUAUACAUUAAAAAUAUUAUAAUAUUAACCCAAUUAAAAUAUUAAAAAAAACAUAAAAACCCUAACCUAGAUCCCCUUUCUCCCCCCUCUCUUUUAUGCAAUCCCUUCCCACUAUCCCUCACCCACCCCCCAGCGACCUCUCCCCAAGCGACCCACAUCCCUAUCCCUAACCUAGAACCCAAAAACCUGCAACAAGAAGAAGAAAAAGAAGAAGAUGAGGGAGGAAAAAAAAAACCCCCAGUUUGUCCCCUCUUCAAAACCUGCAAGAAGAAGAAGACGAAGAAGAGGGAGAAAAAAAAGAGAAAAAAAAGAAAAAAAAAAGCCCAGUUCGCGGGAAGGUCGCCGAAAGGUCGCGCGAGGGGGGGGGAAGGGAAGUCGGUCGCGGGUCGCGGCAGAGCGGGGGGAAGGGAGAUGGGUCGUGGGUCAUGGCAGGGCCGGGGGGGUUUUCUUUUUUUUUUCUUCUUCCUCCCUCUUCUUCUUCUUCUUUUUGUUGUUGCAGGUAUGUGGGUCGCUUAAAGGGGGUGAAGUCUUUGGGGGUGGGGUUCGGGGUGGGUAAGGGAUAGUGGGAAGGGAUUGCAGAGAGGAGAGGGGGAAGAAAGGGGAUCUGGGUUCAGAGGGUGUGUAGAGAAGGAAAGAAGGUGGGUGCGGAGGAAGAGAGGGUUGCGGGUUAGGGGGGUGCACAGGGAGGGUCGACGUUUGGGGGGGGGGGCGGGGGUGUUCUGGGUUUCUGGUUUUGGGGUGGGGGGUUAUCAUUUUUGGGUUUUAGGGAACAAGAUGAAGAUGGGGGAUAUAGGUUUGGGGGUUGCUGGGAGAAGAGAGGAUUUUGGGAGUUGCAAAAGGGUGGGGGUGGGGGAGGGGGGAAGGAAGGGAUAUGGAAUUCGGGAUUUUCUAGUUUUUUUUGUUUUUUUAAUUGGGUUAAUAUUAUAAUAUUUUUAAUGUAUAAAAAAUAUUUUUUUCUACGUGGCAGCCACAUCAGCACAAAUGUGGUAGCCACGUCAACAUUUAACAGACUAAUGGAUGAAAAAUCUAACGGAGGUGUUAUUUUGAAAUAAAAUGGCACUGGAUGUAUGAAAGUGAAAUGUUUUAAAGUUGUUCUAUGGGGUUGUAAUUUACCCUCAAAUCUGAGGGGUUACUAUGUAAUUUACCCAAAUAACUAAUAUAUUAAUACUAAGAUAAGGGUAAAAUAUAUGGUAAUAUGGACUUAUCACUAAUCCUUAUAGCUACCUCCUGAAGAGGAUAUUGACUUCCGAUCCGUUAUCGAUUAGGACUCUGCCGACCAUAGUGUCUUUGAUUUACAACUUGACUGCAAGAGUGCCAUUGGAUGGUGGGUAAACAAUUUAUGGCCUGGUUAAGGGAUCUUUCAUCCAAGGUUUUCCUUGGGUCAUUUUCCUUCCCUUCUGCGCUUUCUUGAAAUACUAUUGUCUUCUCCUUAUGUGAUUGAUGCCUGGAUGGACUUCAUGCCUAGGUGUUAGGGAGGCAGUGGUUAGGGAAUUUCCCGCAGUCUUGUAAAUUACACUACUAGGAGGGCUUCCUAGAUCAACUAUUGUGAAUUUGUCGUUCCUGGGGGAGCUCGAAUAGUAGAAUUUUCAAAUCGGGUGAAGGUACCUUCUACAGUUUUCAUUCUUUCAUUCAGCCUAGCGAGCUUCACCCUUUCUCCUACUUGUAGGUUCUUCUUGAGCACUUUUAUUGACAUGUGUACCUUCAGGACGUUAUCCCAGACCUGGUCGAUGAAAGAGGCUUCUUCUCUAUUCGGGUAUACGGUUUGACCAAACAGCAAUUUUCUGGACGUGGUAUCCGUGGAGCAAAGUGGUCUGGUCGAGAGGAAUAUGGGUUUUCUUUUAAUGAAAGCACCAAUUGUUGAAACCAAAUCUACGCACCUCCGUGAGCGGCGGUUGGGCACAAAUCCGAGUAAACCUGAACAACCUACAAAAGGCUCUUCGAUAGUCAAGCAGUAGGCAAGAGAAUUCAAAUGUAUAGGUUACGUUACUGUAGAUGAACCCUAAACGGGUGUAUUUAUACUAUGAGAGAGAGACAUUUUUAGGAUAGAUCCUCAUUUUAAGCCGGGAGAAUCAUAGAGGAUAUUAGUGAGUAGAUAUUGCAUCUUCUUAGGAGUUGUGAUCACUUGCGGAGCAUGCCUAUCCCUAAAUUGUAGGGACUCCAAGACUUAUAGGAUCUGAUUGUGUCCAUAUCCAGAUCACAUCACAUGUCUUGCAAAACAAGUAUGGUCAUAUGGUGGAGUCACUAGGACUCUGCCUAGGGCCCCAUAGUAGAGUGAUGGUGGCACCCUUCUCCAUUUGAUACAGCUUCACCCGGAGUUGGUAGUGAGUCCAUGAUUGAACUCUUGAGAUAACGGUAUUCGGUUUAGCCUUACUCCGAUCCUGAAAAAUCAUGGUCCCACAUGAGCAGACAAACAUAUUUAGGUGAUUCUGUAAAUGAAUAAUUCCAUCGUGUAUUACGGUGCUCCUACAGAAAAUGGUCCCAAAUUUCUAUCACUUCCAUUCAUUUAUCAGCAAUAGCCCAAACGCCAAACCUCAUUUUUUAAAAGUCACCUGGUAUUAAGCUAAAUAAGUCAAUUAAUUAAGUAUGUAAUUGAGUAAUUAACUAAUGGUGGUGAGAUGAUGAGAAAUGGAAAGUACAAGAGUAUCCUGCACAGAACCACCGUAAACAAGGACAAGACAAGAAUGUCAUGACUAGUGUUAUUGGAGCCGCCAGCAGGUCCUCAUUUACAGCUUGUGAACGCCGACAAUCCACCAGAGUAUAAGACCAAGAAGUAUGGCUACCAUGUUUACUGUAAGAUCAACAAGCAUCCCCAGUAAAUAAAAGAAAAACUAACGAAAAGUUAAAAAAAGACUUUAGUUUUAAUGAAAAAUGACAAAUAAAGGUGUAAUGAAUAGUAUCAGGGAAAAGUAAAAAUGUGAUUUUUCGUUAAAAGUGAACAAUACCAGGAGUAUUUGUUAAAACUCCCCAUAAAUAAAUACUAUGAAGUGGGUGGUUUUUGUUUUUUUUAUUUUUAUUUCCUUAUUUUGUGUUGGUGAAAUUGUGGGUGGUGAGUACCAUAUUUGUAUGAAAUAAUAAUUUGAAGUCAAGGUGAUGAGCAAAAUCUUACUCGAUUGUAUAUUAUUAUGGAAGUUGAGAUUUGUUGUCGGAUUCGACAUUCUUCUUAUCCCUCUAACUCACAACAAGUCUGAUCAAAUUCUCAUUUGGUGUCCAAGAUAAAUUUGAAUGAAUAGCCCACAAUAUUUAUUGUAUGUUGAACAAACAAAUGAAAAUUUUGUAUCCAAUUUAAAGUAAAAGAUGAAUUACUCAUACAGAAAACUUGUACAUUCAAAUUUCCUCCAAAAUGACAAGAUUCUUUGGGACACUUUGGAUGCGAUCCCUAGCUAUCAAUAUUCUUUGAUUGAAACCUUGUUAGUUUUUAGUUUUUGAUUGAGGUCCCUGAUAUUAAUGUAAUAAUGUAAGUUACUAUAUUUUUUUAAUUAAAAAUUAAAAAUUGAAAUUUGUAAUUGUUUAUAUUAAUGAGAUUUUAAAUAAAACCCAUAAUUUAUGGGAUUAAAAAUAAUAAAAUAUAAAUUAUUCUCUCUAUUAUAUUGUGUGUGUGUGUGUGUGUAUAUACAUAUAUGUAUGGGUACAUUAACCAAAAUUAACAAAAAAAGUUAUUGUACCAAAACAUGGAUACAUUCUCAAAUCAACGAAAAAGAAUGUACCCAUAUAAGUUUAAACAUGGAUUAAAAAAUUUGAAUGGAUUUUAUAUUAAAAAAGGGUACAUUUUACAUAUAACAAAUUGAUAUAUUUGAGAAUGGGUACAUUUAAGAUUAAAAAAAUUGAAAAAUUAUAUGAAUGGGUACAUUUAAGAUUAAAAAAUUGAGAAUCUUUUUAUAUAUAAAAAAAACUAAUAGGUACAAACUUAAUUUAAUUUAAUUUUUUAUUAUUUUGGAAAUGUUUGAAUUGAAAAUUAAUUAGAAGUUUAAUAGAGGUGUGAGUAUUAAACCCUAAAUUAAUUACUAAUUUUUAUAUUAAAAAAAUUAUAUAAUAAACAUGUAAAUUCAUUAUCACAUUAAUGCUAGGGACUUGAAUCAAAAUUAAGAACUAAUAAGGUGUUAGUCAAUGAACAGUAAAAACUAGGGACUGGAUACUAAUUUUUCCUUAAAAAUAUAACUUUCAUUCAUAUCUACUCAAAAUGAAGAAAACCAUUUACCUCUACAUUCAUCUUUAUGUACUUGGAAUUUUACGAGUUAUCUAUUACAAUCCUAGAAAUCAAAUGACCUUAAGAAACAAAGAAUCAGAAUAUUUAAACUUAGGACAUUGGAUACAAAAGUGUAUAUUCUUAAUCACUACAGUUCAUUUCUUAAACUUUUAUAGUUUAGAAUGCAUAAUCUAUAAAAGCUUUAUUUACAGAAGAAAAGAAAGAAAAUGAGGAGACACGAUUGAUUUGUACAAAAAUAAUAUUGUACAGGCAAAGUCACAUCCCAGAACCAAUUUUGGGAGAGGUUUUGUUUGUUUGCAAGUAAAACAAGUAGAUGUUUUUAACCUUUUACCCUCCAAAACAAGUUCAAGAACGUUCUACUAGUUAGAACAAUAAUAGUAGGGUGGAAUGCUGAUUUAAUCUCUGAAUUAUUACCUCAGUGAAAAUUAGGUCCCUGAAUUAUUUUUCGGUAAAAUAAGUCCCUAAAUUCAUUAAAAAUUGCUAAUUUCAUCCAUACUACUAUAUUAAAAGCUAGUUUAUCACUUUUUUGUCAACUUAAGUCACUUGACACAUUUUAAAGUAAAAUACCAACAUUUUCUCACGUAUAAGCCAUUAACAUUUCAUACAGGUUACCAAUCUAAGGUCUAAUUUUUACCCUCCAAAGUUAACUUCAUAUACUAUUUCUUUAUGUAAAAUUACUAAUCUACUCUCUAAUGUGUAUCAUAUGCAAGUACCUUGACUUAAGUUGACGGAAAAUUGAAUAUAAUAGCUUUGAAUAUAAUAUUAAGGAUGUAAUUGGCAGAUUUUUAAAAUUCAAUGAUUGAUUUUCCUCAAAAAAAUAAAAAUAUUAAAGACCUAACUUUUACUCAGGUGAUAAAUUAUUCAGGAACUAAAUUGGCAGUUCACUCAUAGUAAUAAUGACAGACCCCGAC
RNAcentral lists this long non-coding RNA (58314 nucleotides) under Malus domestica (apple). RNAcentral describes it as "long non-coding RNA (MDOM_LNC004302)". Lineage: Eukaryota; Viridiplantae; Streptophyta; Magnoliopsida; Rosales; Rosaceae. The record is from RNAcentral.